GGGGGAGGGGGUUAUCAUAUAGUGCUAUCAACAUUCAUAAAAUUGUUAAAAAAAAUUCAUAAUGAUAUAAAACAUUAACAAACAUUCGUUCCUUUUAGCUCAACAUACCGAGGAAUUCGAAUGAAGCUGAUACCAUUGGCGCUUUUGGUCAGCCAAAAUUUCAGGAUUAAAAUUGUAAUCCUUACUUUCAUCUUUACCCCAUUUUAAAGCCCUUUGAACUUGAUGCUUCCAUUUUUGGAAACCGUUGCUGCGUUUGCCCCCAUUCCCAGAUGAUACAUCACUCUUUGAACGCCUAUGACCCGGCCCUGAUGGUGGAAGGUUUAAACUGCUCGUAUCACUUGGCAUUCUAUCAACUUUUAAAAAUGCCUUGUCAGGUAUCUUCUCUAUUGCCAAAGAUGGACCCCUCUCUAACAGCUGAGUUGUCGUCGAAGAUGCAUUAGUUGUUGUAGAAGAUGGAUCCUUCUCUAGUGUUUGAGUAGUUGUUGAUGAUGGAUCCUUCUCUGACACCUUAGUAGUCGAAGAUAGAUCCUUCUCUGAUGCCUGAGUUGUUGUUGUUGAAGAUGGAUCCUUCUCCGACGCCUGAGUUGUUAAAGAUGGAUCCUUCUCUGAAGCCCUAAUUGUUGAUGAUGAAUCCUUCUCUAACGCCUGAGCUGUUGUUAAAGAUGGAUCAUUUUCUGACGUCUGAGUUGUUAAAGAUUGAUCAGUCUGUGACUCCUGAUUUGUUGUAAACAUUGAAUCAUUCUCUGAUGCCUGAGCUAAUUCUAAAGAUGGAUCAUUCUCUGAAGCUUGAGAUGUCACCAAAAAUGAAUCUUCUUCUGAAGCCUUAGUUGUUGAAAAUGGAUCCUUCUCUAAAGCCUGAGUUGUAGACGAAGAUGAAAUAUUGUCUAAGGCCUGAGUUGCUGUCAAAGAUUGAUCCUUCCCUAAUGUCUGAGUUGUUGUCGAAGAUGGAUCCUUCCCUAACUCCUGAGUUGUUUUCGAAGAUGGAUCAUUUGCUAAUGUCUGAGUUGUUGUCGAGGAUGGAUCUUUCUCUGACGCCUGAAUUGUUAUCAAAGAUUGAUUUUCCUCUGACACCUGAGUUGUUGAAGAUAGAUCCUUCUCUGACGCUGGAGUUGUUAAUGAUGGAUCCUUAUUUGACGCCUCAUUUGUUGAAGAUGGAUCAUUCUCUGAUGCCUGAGUUGGCGUCAAAAAUGAAUCAUUUUCUGAAGCCUUAGUUGUUGAAGGUGGAUCCUUCUCGAAAUCCUGAGUUGUAGUCGAAGUUGGAUCCUUGUCUAAUGCCUGAGUUUCUGUCAAAGAUUGAUCCUUCCCUAAUGUCUGAGUUGUUGACGACGGAUCCUCCUCUGAUGCUUGAGUUGUUAUCAAAGAUCGGUCCUCCUCUGACGCCUGAGCUGUUGUCGAAGAUAGAUCGUUCUCUGACACCAGAGUUGUAAGAGAUGGAUCCUUAUGUGACGCCUGAGUUGUUAAUGAUGGAUCGUUCUCUGUUGCGGGAGUUGUAAAAAAUGAAUCAUUUUCUGACGUCUGAGUUGUCAAAAAUGAAUCCGUUUCGGAAGCCUGAGUUGUCAAAGAUGAGUCCUUCACUGACAUAGGAGACGUUAUCAAAGAUAGAUCCCUCUCUAAUGCCUGAUUUAUUGUCAAAGAUGGAUCCUUCUCUGACGCUGGAUUUGUCAAAAAUGAAACCUUCUCUGAUGCUAAAGUUGUUGUCAAAUUUGGAUUCUCCUCCAAAGCUGGAGUCGUUACCAAAGAUGAAUCUCUCUCUCGCACUAAUUUUGUUUCCAUUUAACAAUCAAUUGCAGCCUGGUUAAAGGAAACAAUCAGUUGCAUACAUUUGGGAAAUAAACAAGCGAACUAAAGUUGAUUGCUAACGUCCUCUGCAAAAUAGAACACAGUUGUAUAAUUUUAAUCACUGUCGCGUUUUAGGAAAAUGCAAAUUGUGUUUGGUUCAACCAUUUGAGGAAAGAUAAACAUCUAGCUAAAGAACUUUAGCUAGUGUUCACGCAUGACACUAUAAGGAUCUUAGCUGAGGUAACACAGCUAAAUUUAUAAUCUUUUUGCCUUGCAACAGAUAAGACACCAUGAAUCAAAGGUAAAAGAAACACAUAACAACAAAUCCGUUUCCUACAUAUAUAAUUUUCAAAUACAAAUACACAGAGUUUCUUGAUAGUAUAUUGGCAAUCAAAAUUUUGAGAAAAGAUUUGCAGCAAAUCAUAAACAUCACAAUGAUGAGAGUACAAUAUACCAGAGAGAUUUUGCUUCAGAACAUCACUCAAGUAAAAACAAUACAAAAAACCAAAAAAAAAAAAAAACAAGCCCCUAUCAACUACUAAACCAAUAGAAAAAUUCUUAACUAGAAAAGGUGCUACAAGCCUAGGACUAUCAGAGGAAUAUCAAAAUCAUACUUCAAGUUCUGGACAAAAAAGAAAAAUAACUCAACCAGGAACAUGAAAUUCCUAAUUGCUAGAAUUUUUCGUAUUGUGCAUUUAAGCCGGAGAUUAUGCAUCUACAAAUCAUCAUAGCAUAAUCUUCUGUACUUAAAAUUCUCUCCUAUCUGGGAUCAGAAUCUAACCAAAUAUGGUAAACAAUAUACAUAGCCCAUGCAUGCAGUUAUUUACUCAUUUAACACAUAAACUAUAAAUUGAUAUAAGAAUCAGAGCCAUCAAGAAAGUCAUACCUCUACAAAAAACAACAAUUUGCAGAACUUCCAAGCCUCAACACAGAAUAUAACUGAAUAUAUUUAUAUCCAAAAAUUAAUGUAGCCAUCCUGCAAAAAUCAAAUAAAAAUCAUAUUUUGAGUUGGGAAUUAGAAUCUGAUAAUUACUUCUAAUUAAUGCAUGUAUCAUAUGUGCAAAAAAACCACAAAUUUUGUUGGCUCUUUUUUUUUAUUUCAAAUCAUAAAAUAAAUGAUAUCAAACUAGUAGAAAAUCAGAUAUCAAACUAGUAGAAAAUCAAAGGCCAAAAUGAACAAAUGUUACCUGAUACCAGGAUGAUCAGAGAGAUGUUAAUCGAGAGAGAUAAUAAUGGGGGAGAUUCCCUGUCGUUCUCUGUAAUGUUGUAUAAUUUUAAUCACUGUCGCGUUUUAGGAAAAUGCAAAUUGUGUUUGGUUCAACCAUUUGAGGAAAGAUAAACAUCUAGCUAAAGAACUUUAGCUAGUGUUCACGCAUGACACUAUAAGGAUCUUAGCUGAGGUAACACAGCUAAAUUUAUAAUCUUUUUGCCUUGCAACAGAUAAGACACCAUGAAUCAAAGGUAAAAGAAACACAUAACAACAAAUCCGUUUCCUACAUAUAUAAUUUUCAAAUACAAAUACACAGAGUUUCUUGAUAGUAUAUUGGCAAUCAAAAUUUUGAGAAAAGAUUUGCAGCAAAUCAUAAACAUCACAAUGAUGAGAGUACAAUAUACCAGAGAGAUUUUGCUUCAGAACAUCACUCAAGUAAAAACAAUACAAAAAACCAAAAAAAAAAAAAAACAAGCCCCUAUCAACUACUAAACCAAUAGAAAAAUUCUUAACUAGAAAAGGUGCUACAAGCCUAGGACUAUCAGAGGAAUAUCAAAAUCAUACUUCAAGUUCUGGACAAAAAAGAAAAAUAACUCAACCAGGAACAUGAAAUUCCUAAUUGCUAGAAUUUUUCGUAUUGUGCAUUUAAGCCGGAGAUUAUGCAUCUACAAAUCAUCAUAGCAUAAUCUUCUGUACUUAAAAUUCUCUCCUAUCUGGGAUCAGAAUCUAACCAAAUAUGGUAAACAAUAUACAUAGCCCAUGCAUGCAGUUAUUUACUCAUUUAACACAUAAACUAUAAAUUGAUAUAAGAAUCAGAGCCAUCAAGAAAGUCAUACCUCUACAAAAAACAACAAUUUGCAGAACUUCCAAGCCUCAACACAGAAUAUAACUGAAUAUAUUUAUAUCCAAAAAUUAAUGUAGCCAUCCUGCAAAAAUCAAAUAAAAAUCAUAUUUUGAGUUGGGAAUUAGAAUCUGAUAAUUACUUCUAAUUAAUGCAUGUAUCAUAUGUGCAAAAAAACCACAAAUUUUGUUGGCUCUUUUUUUUUAUUUCAAAUCAUAAAAUAAAUGAUAUCAAACUAGUAGAAAAUCAGAUAUCAAACUAGUAGAAAAUCAAAGGCCAAAAUGAACAAAUGUUACCUGAUACCAGGAUGAUCAGAGAGAUGUUAAUCGAGAGAGAUAAUAAUGGGGGAGAUUCCCUGUCGUUCUCUGUAAUUUUUUUGGGAAGAUUGAUUAAAAUUUUGAUCAGUUUUUUUUUUAGGAAAUUUUUGAUCGGUUUUGUUUUGGAGUAUUAGAUAUUUACUUUUUCCUUAUAUUUUUGUUGGGUAAUAUUUACAUUUUCUAAUUACAUAAAACAUAAAAUAUAAAAAAUUUACCUAAGGUAUAUAAUUUACCUCAAUAUUUGGUUUUGAUAAUGCCCAUCCUCAUUUUAAUAACUUUGGUCAUGUCAACAAAAUAUAUUAUAUAAUUUACUAUUUAUCAAAAUUAAUUAUGACGUUAUUUAAUUUUUUAUAAUAUAAUUAUAAUUAUAAAAUAACAAGUAACACCAUCUAUAUCUAUAUUAAUAAAAUAUUGGGGAAAUUAGGAGCCGGCCUUGAAAACUAAAAGGCCUGUGAAGGUCCAGUCUGUUAUAUCCAGCGUUGAUUAGUGGGCCUCGAAUCGAUCCGGGUUUGAAAAUUUCAUCAGUGCACGUCAAAUUCCAGAAGCACGUUAACAUCAUUUACCUGAAUAUUUCACUUCGAGACUCAGGAACGCCACGUCAUAACUUUAAGUUAAUUUCUAUUGAUUAGUUUCAUCAGUAAAACUAAAAUUCGUUUAGGAUCCAAAUAAUCGUUUGUUUUCAAAUAUUUUUAUAAAAUAACACAAUGCGCCCUCAUAUUCAUAAAAAAAGUACAGCUUUUAUAUAUGGGCGAUUGUGUAGAUUUUUAUUGUCAAUUCGCGGUAAAUUUUAAAUCCUCCAUCAUAUCAUACAAAUAUUUAUCGAUUAUUAAUAACUUUUACCUCGGUUUAGUCUUCAUAAAACCUCCUUUUGGAAAAGUUGUACACCCAUAUUUUUUAAAAAGAACUGUUAUUAAAUAUUUGUACGAAACUCUCGUUAUAUCGAACCUUAACAAAAAUAUUAUUUUUUAUAUUAUAUCUUAAGACAUACAGAUAUCAAAAACAUUGUAAAAUAGUCAUCUAAAAUCUACAAAAUCACUUAAAUUUUCUAGUGUCACAACAAUUUUAAACAUCACUAAUAAAAAAACGGGAAAUUCUUGAUGGUACCUUCGUAGAAUUGGUUUUUCUCAAUGGAUGGUACGCUCGUACUUUUAAUUUACUCUUUAUGGUACCCUCGUGUACUUUUUAUUUACUCUCUAUUGAUUUUAAACUGUAAAACAAAUUGUAUAUUUGAAAUCUUUGCGAAAAAUUACAUAAAAUAGACCCUUAAAUCAUGUAAAACAGAGUCAAAAUGUAUGAGAUAUAUUCAAACUUGGAGGGUGUUUGUUUACGGCUUUUAAGCCCAACUUCUGGUUUAUAAGUUAGAAGCACUCAUUUAUACCGUUUAUGUAAAAAGUCAAGAAGCACUUAUUAAAAGCUAGGAAUGCUAGCUUUUGUUUUAGGACUUUUACUUAUUUCCUAAACACUUUAAUUACUUAUAAGUCUUAACUUUGCUUCUAACUUUUACUCUAUUUUAUUAUUUUAAACAAGAAGCACUUAUUUUAAACUCACCCAAACGGUCCCUUCAUAACCAAACUUUGUCAUUAAUAUCUCACUCAUUUUAACUCUGUUUUACAUGAUUUAAGGGUAUAUUUUAUAUAAGUUUUCGUAAGGAUUUCAUAUAUACAAUUUGUUUUACAGUCUGAAAUCAACAGAGAGUAGAUCAAAAGUACACGAGUGUACCAUAGAGAGUAAAUUAAAAGUACGAGGGUACUACUUGUAGAAGUCAAAAAUGCGAUGAUACCAUUGAGAAAAGUCAAUUCUAUGAGUGUACCAUCAAGAAUUUCUCUAAAAAAAUCUUAAUUAUAUUUUAUUUAGUUGGAUACUUAUUUUCUCGAAUCAAUAUAGAUGCGUACUUUAUAUAUUACAGUGAAUCACAAAUUCUAAGAUAAAACAUCUUAACUAUACAUAUUAUAAUUUUCGCAGUCUGUUUUAUAUAAUAUAGUGACAGUUAAUAUAAGAAAACAAUCGACCUUUACACUUUACUACAUUUCUAGAAUACAAUAAUAUCCUGAAAUAAAAUAAAAAUUCAUAUCAACUGUCCAUGGCAUAGAAAAGGUAGGAGUGUAAAAUGGAGUACUAGUAUACAAGUAAAAAGUUUCAAAACAUCUAGAGGUCUUGAUAUUCUGUCAAUAUUCUUCUAAACAUUUGAACUGUGGAAAGUUGACUCCAGUGCAAUUUGAUCACCAAGCUUGAUGAUCUUUCACAGAAAAUACAAUAUUUUAAAAUGAAAGCCUAGUCGAAUAGUAUGCUAUUCGUCAGUCAUCACGAUGAAGCCGUAUAUUGAAAUCCAAACUGACUGGAACUUGCUACAAUUUGCAUGUGAUCAUCUAGAACAAGAGCCAUGAGCUUGCACUUUUAUCUCAAAUGCAAAGUAAUUUCUGCAUAAUAUCAUAAAAUUUAUAUUUCUAUUAUAUGUAAUCAAAUAAUAUUCAGAUAUUACCAGUAUUCUGAAAAUCUCUAAUUUAUUGAAUAAUUUUGAAUUUAUCUUUAAAAUAUAAUUUACCGAUUUAUGAUUACAUUUCGAUUUAACUAAAAAUCCUUGAUUUUUGAAAAAAAAUUCCAAUAAAAAUUAGAUCGACAGAUUAGUUACGAUUUCUGAUUUCUUAAAUACUGCUAUAAGUUACGAUGGUAUAAAUAAUUCAAAAUCAUUAUUUAGAAUAUUUAUAAAUAAUAUAGAACAGUUAGUAAAGUAUACAAAAAAAAUUAAAUUUUGUAUUUAAAAAUAAUAUUGCCAACAUAAUUUUUUCAAUCCUAAUUUCCUUCUAUCUAAUUAAUAAAAAAAUUGUGUCAAAAAGCUGUCGUGUAAUUUAUUAUAAGUGAAAAAUAAAAAUAAUUCAAAGUUAUGAACUAAUCAUCAGAUCUUUUGCGAAUUGUUCCUAAAAACAUGCAAAAUCUAAAUUGUGUCAUUACAUAUCUUAUUAGCUUUAAUUUUAUAGCAAGUCAACUUGACGACCUUCUCGAAUAUUGUCCAGAUUAACGUCUUUAUAACGACUACUUCUCAAGCUAAUUAAACAUAGCUCUAUAUAAAUACCAAGUGAUACUUAUCAAAGUUCAUAAGCACGCAACAUACCUCAUUAAUUCCUCCUGCUUAAUCAACCAGAAAAUCAAUUACACCAAAAUUCGAAAUGCAAACAUCUUCAUUCAUUCCAUCAACACUCCCGCCUCCGCGUUUAUUAUUUUCCACGAAGACGAGGAGUGCAAGAACAAUCACUUAUCAGAGACGACCAGCUAUCAUGGCGGUUAAAAGAGAUAAUCAAGAAGACAAAAAGUACAAGGGCAACAUGGUGGAUGAGAAUAUGAUUGUUUUGAGAAUGCGGAUUCAUGAUAUCAUGUCGAGUGAGAAGAGCGAAGAGCUGCCAACGGAUUGGAUGGAGUGGGAGAAGCAAUAUUAUCAAGAGAGCUAUAAGCUGGAUGUGAGUGAAGCACUAGGGUUUUUGCAGAAUUUGUUGAUGCGGACCAGGCCCAGCUUGGCCUUGGGUGUUUUAGCUCUUUUGAUGAUCUGUGUUUCGCAUUCGGCGUUCGUGGUUGCAUUGAAUUUUAUGAACAUGACACUGUAAAUACUUGUGAAGGAUACUAGAGACUUGAUUUUUGCCCAACCGGGUUUUUCUAUUGAUCGAUUGUUGAGAAUAAAAAAGUGUUGGAAUGGUGAUAAUCAGGAGAGGUCUUGAUUUUAAGUCUUUCAUAUUCUCAUUACCUUCGCUUAUAUGUCCGGUAAAAUCAGUGAAAUAUCUAAGAUUUGAUUUCAAGUGUUUUGUAAAUUUGAUUGAAGAAAUGUUAACGGGUGCUAAUAACAAAAGUUCAUACAAUUGAUUUUAAAUGCUGUAUACAAAUUUGAAUGAAGAAAUACUAACGAAUGCUAAUAACAAAUUAUACGAAUGCUAAAAAAUUCCUACAUCAAUUAAUUUUAAUUAAUGAUUUAUACAAAUUUGAUUGCAGAGAUAUUAACAUAUGCUAAUAAUAACAAAAGUUCUUAUAGCAAGCAAUACUUUAGUAUCACAUUAUACAUCGGAAAACAGCUUCAUAAAAGAAACAGAAUCGAAACCGAUCAACCUGAGUUUAAUAUGACAUGACUAUUCGACCAGAGUCAAAGUGACACUUAUUUUAGGAUGGAGGGAGUAUUUUAGGACGGAGGGAGUAUAAAAGAUGAAUUUUUUUUAAAAUUUGAGAUUUGUCACACAUUAAAGAGGCAGCUUUUAUUAACUGAAAUACAAGUAAGCAUGCAAAAGAUAAAGGAAGGGGAGUGCUGCUAGCUGUAGGGAAUCCAGCUCCGGCAUUGCAGAGAAUUAUGAAUCAACUCAAGCCGCAUCGAAUCCAUCUUGCAGAAUCAGAAACCCUAGUUCCACAGCCUGCAAUUUAAAUAAACUAAAUCGGCACAACAAUAUAUAUUAAUCCCCACAGGUCACCUUCUACAAAAAUUACCAGCUAGUAAACAUAUAGCAAUAAAUUAUAAGAAACUGAUAAUUCCCCUAAUUAUUGAAAGCUGAUAAUCUCCAUUUUCAAGCUAUCAACAAGGCUUCUGAUACUAAUUAUACAGCUAAAGUUACAAAAAUAUUAAUAUUUGCUAUACGGUCAAAGCACCUAAAGUUACUAAAAAGUCAAACGCCCUGAAUAAUGAACCAGAGGGAAUACAAUAGCUAUGUAUAUAUUGGGAGCUCCCUUCAGUCCAAGACGCGACGGCAAUAACUGAACACAACCCCUGCAUCGUUCGAUCAGAAACUCAUCUUAGACCUUAUAAUAAAUUUGCGACGAGUUCGUGAACAAACGAGCCAGCAGUUGUGUAAUCAGCCCUCGAACCACCUCGGACUGGACUGAAGAAAGCUCCCUAGUAACAUUAUACACACUAGUAUUCAUGCAGCAGCAAAUUAACAUGCACAUCAAGAACAUUUUAACUAAAUCAUACACUUAAAAUAAACAGAAUAGCAAGACAUAGGGGAGGCGAAUAUAUAGAGAUGAUGGAUGUGGAGAAGAAAAGAAAAGCGGGGACAUGGAAAUGCAAGGGAGAUAAAUUAGCUGUUUGUAACACUGACAAGUGACAAGUGAUGAGAAGAGUUCUCCCAAAUAAUGCUAGUGGUUUAUUUAUCAUGGGAUUGGGCUACUUUUGUAUAUUCCACAAUAAUACACUACUCAUCUAGCUGGCCUGUGUGAUUCAAAUACACCCUUGACCCUUCUCUGUUCCUUGUGUUCAGGGUUUCUGAGACAUAUGUAAUGCUUCAGAAUUAUUGAUAUUGUUAAUAAUAAUAAUUGUCGGUAAAAAAAAUUGUUUAAAGAAAAAUCAAUAUUUUACAAAAAAAUAUGCGAAAACAGAAGUUUUCUCAGUAUUCCGUUAACUAAAAUCACAAUAAGUCUCGUCAUGUUUAUAAUUGAUAUCGACAAUAUCAAUACCACAUAUGCAGUGGUCCAUUAUGGUGAAAUCUUGGAAUGAGAAACCUAUGGUGAUGGUGAAGGGACCUAUUUUUCAAGAAUCACGUCUUUGUUUGAUGUUUCUUCAAUCUUACGAAUAAAUCUGAAAUUCCCAAUUAAUCUCAGUCCAAGUCCUAAAUUAUAAACCUUAUUCCGUUAUAAAUCAUUGUUUCAUUAUCAAUCAUAAUUAAUUUUAACAACCCUUGUCGAAUCUUGUUAUCAUUUAAUUACAAAUAAUUAUUAUAAUUACCUAUAAGAGUACAAGAUCUUACAGAUACGUGCCACAAAUUAUCUUUUAACAUUUGUUUAUUGGGUCAUUAAACCUAGAUACUUGAAAUCAUUGAGUACCUUUUCCGGUAUCAGUUAGGGUUUGAAGCAGAACCUAAUAUGAAUUUCUUUUCAGAAAUAAUAUUAAAAUCUACUUUUAUGUCCCAAUUAAAUAUAUACGUUUUUUUCUGACACGCAUUUUAAAACUCCUUUAAAAUAUAGUUUUAUAAUAUUUUUCUAAAAUUUUUUUUUUUUUUGAAUAAAAAUUUGAUGUCUAAACUUUUAUUCCAUAAUCAAAAUUUAAAAAAAUAUUAAAAAACUAUAUUUUAUAAUAAUCUCAUAAUAAAGUGCUGUCCGGGACAGAUGGAGGGAGUAGUAUAUAUGUUGGUGAGACAUGAUUAGCUAGUGAAAUUGAGUAUGCAUCGUGAACAAAAUUCUGAAAACAAAUCCGGGUCAAAGAAACAUUCAAGCACUUGAAGACUACAAAGUUUUCCUUCCUAUUGAAACCCUAGUUAGAAACUGGAGCUAAUCAUACAGUAAAAACACAUGUACUACAAGUUCUUGUUCUCAUGACAAGUACCCACAUAUAUCACCUUUCUCAACAGCUUUCAUGCAUGUUUAACCUACUAGCUAGUUUGUUUCAUAUUUAGUUAUUCUGCCGACUCCCCAACCCUAACUAAAAGAGUUGCUUCUCAACAAUCUGGUUCCUGUAAUUACCAAAUAAGUUCACAACCAAAAUCAAAAUUUGAGAUUUAGUUGUUUUUUGCCAUCUUGGUUUGUUUCGUUUGAAGCUCCACUGGCAAGGUCGUCCUUGUUCACAUGCAGCAUGAAGUGAGAGAGAAAGAGAGAGACAGAGAGAGAGAUAAAAAAUACUAUUGAAACUCUGAAGCCAGAGGACCUGAAAGAUACUGCAGCAAAAGCCAUAGCUGGCUACAUAUAGAGAUUGAGUAGCUUGUUUUCAUCACUCCCACCGUUGUGGGACCGAAAGGGUAAGUGUUCUGUAAAAUCUGAGCUCUAUGUUAAGUUUUUUGUGUUGUCAUAUCGUUUGUCAAUUCUAUUUCAAAUUUUCCAGUUAAUUUAAGGGGUCUUUUGGAUGAGCUUAAGCAAAACGACUUCUUGCUUAAAAUAAAAAAUUGGAAUAGAUGUGAGAAAUUAAGAAUUAUAAGUUAUUAAAGUGUUUAGAAAAUAAGUAGAAGUCUUGAAAGAAAAGCUAGAAUUUUAGGUUUUUAUAAGGGCAUCUGAAUUCUUUAUACAAAUGGUCAAGAAAACCAAAAGCUUACUUAUUGUUAAAAAAAAGUGCUUUUAUUUGUUAGCCAAACACGCCCUAAAUUUUGCCAUUUGCCCAUUUCACUAUAGACCUCCCUCCUCCUUCAACAUGCUGAUGAUAAUUUUUCUUAAAUACUCUAUACAUCGAAAUAUGUUAUAUUUUUCUAAAAUAUAACCCCCGCUUUAUUAACUUUUAUUUUUCAACUAGCCAUAUUAUAAAGAUAGUCCAGAACAUAUGUAUGUUAGUAACAUAUAUACGACACGAAAAAAAAAACGUUGAACGUGAAGAAUUUAGAGUUAGACAAUUUUCCGCUAGAUGAUACUGUAGCACCCCUGUGUAUACAUCAAAAACUUAAGAUCAAACUGUGCAACACUUGUAUGCUGUUAACAUAUGCGACACGAAAAAAAAGCGUUGAACGUGAAGAAUUUAAAGUUAGACAAUUUUCCACCGAAUGAUAUUGUAGCACCCCUGUAUAUACAUCAAAAACUUAAGAUCAAACUGUUCCAAUGUUUUUUUCCACUGAAUAUAUGCUGUUAACAUAGGGCUCAGAAUCUGAUAUAUACCUAUUAUAAAUGAUUAAAUUAAAUACCAUGCAUGUUUUCAUGUAAAGUAGGAUCAAAUUUUAAUCGAACUUAUUAGCCUUGUUUUCGUGUAGUGUCUACUUCUACACUUACCUGUUUCCUGUUUGCAGUUCGCAGCUAAACCCUACGUUACAUGCUCAUACAGUAUCAUUCUUCCGAAUCAUACCACAGCUGUCUUGAAUUUUUUGCUUUUUUAUCCUGGUAAGAUAGCUGUCUGGUUAAAUUUUGAAAAACAUGUCACUAUUUGAAACUUUACACUGUGCACGUACUAAACUGAGGCUCAGGAGAGUACACUUCAUCCUGCCCUUAAAUCUCAGACUUUUGACAUUAAAAUAUGUGCAAAUAGGAGUAUAUAAGUAUGGGAAAUAACUUCCAAACACGAAGCAACAGAAAACAUAUCAUGUGUCUGUGUUUCUAUUUCUUCUGAGUGACAUACUCCUAUUAUUUUGAAACUUUGAGAGGUGUCCUACUGUCCUCACCUGACUCUGCAGAGAGGCUGGGACUAAUUUUCAAAGAAAGACCCUGCUCAACUCUCUUCAAACUGAGAAAAUUUCAAGUUUAAGCAAGUGAUUUAUGUAAAUCUAGAUUUCUCCCCUGCACGCGCACCGUGGGUGUUGGAGCAAUAUAUUGACAACACAUGUGAGUACUCCAUGAAUGUUUUGCUAUAUAAAAUCAGAUAUUCUCCUUUGCAAUGUCAAUGUGGGACUUCUAACACAUUCCUAUUUUUUCAUUUCCAAGAGACCAACUUUGGAUACUUUUAAUUUAUCUCAUUCAAAAUGCCUUGGAAAAAUGUCUAGAAAAAGAACGCUAUCUAAGCGUCACUCGUUGUGCGCACACAACAAUUAUUUCUCAAAUAUGUGACUCAAAAUCGACAUAACAAUAUGAGGUGAAAAACCCACAUUUUCCAACAGUUUCUUCUUUUUUUCUCUCUCUUCUUCUGCGGAUCUUAUCCCUUGACUAGAAUUUCUUUUCAAUCGUCUGAUUAAACAAACGACUGAGUUGGAUAGUUUAUGUGCAUACAGGAAAUCCAAUUAUCACUAAUAUAAGUUAAACCUAUCCAACAUCGUCAACUAGAAUUUGACAAAAAUAAUUGAAAAUAUUUUUCAUUAAGAUCAGCCGCCCCUUCAUCACGUCAAUCGGAAAAGAAACUAAAAUAUGUAGCAUUACUAUUUUAAUAUGUUUCAUAAACUUAAAAUUGGGAUGAUUAUGACAGAAGACUAUGACCGGCAGGGGAUGGGAUUGGGUCAGCCCAACACGAGCUUUGGACCACACACAGGUACCCCACUAACUAAAUGUUUCCCUAUUCAAGCCCACAGGAAAGUUAACCCAGGCUCUUUCUAAUGGGCUAUAAACUACGGCCCUGAACAUGUCGGAUAUCUAAUCUUUUUUCCUUUUUUUGAAGGUCCAAUAUCUAAUUUCUUUUCUUUUUAAUAAGGGCGAAAAUCUCAUUUCGAAUGUACUAUUUGCACGCAAAAUUAACUUUACUUAUCAUUUGGAAUAGAUAGAUUAUUAGAAUGUUAUCUACCUUAAGUAUAAAAAUUAAUACAGCAAAAAUAAAUAUCAUCACAUUUUAAUAAGUUGAAGCAAGUAGAUAAAAGUUAAUCGAACAAAUCAUUUCGAACCUCUUUGUUUAGAGCUGAAGUCAGCUUACAACGAUUUCUAAUUUUAAAUUGAAAAAUAUUGUUUGUAUAAUAUAUUAAAAAUUAAUUUUAAAAAAAAUAUAAGUCAGAAACUGAUUUAAAAUAAAAAAUUAGUUUUAGAUGAUAUUUUCAGUAAUUUAUUUUUAUAAAAUUACUCAUAAAUCAUAAAUUAUCCAUAAAUUAUUUUUAUUUUUGUUAUAUUUUUGUUAUAUUUUUAAAUCCUUAUAAAUUAUUAAUAAAUCAAAAUUAAGUACACAAACAUUUUAAACUCCCAACUUAUAAUCAUAUUAAAUACGUUAAAUCAUAAAUCGUAAAUUUAAAUUCCUCUUAGUUCAACCAAACUUAAGAUCAUAGUAUGCGCCUAAAUUGCACCCUUUCCCCCUUGUGUUAAACGUGUUUGAAGUCCGUGCUUCAAAUUGCUUGACUGUAAUCUGAUUCCAAGUUUUCUUUCGAUUGAGCUGAAUUUCAAAUUUAAUUGUCAACGAACGAAAGUGUUGGAGACGUAUAUAUCACGGGUCAGAACGAAGGACUCGUCUUUGGUCAAAAUGAUUCUAAGGUGGCUUUUAGAGUACUUAAAAAAAAAGGUGGCUUUUAGAGUGAUAAAUGACAAAGCAAAGAAAUAUGAUGUGAAACAAAAGUUGUUAUAAUUAAUUUAUUUUUAGUUAUAACAUAAUAAAAGUUUAUAUAAUUAAUAUUCAGAUAAAUAUAAAAUAAAUUAUUUAACUUAAAAAUUAAUAUACUAAUAUAAAUAUCCUAAGUUGUUAAAAAAAUAUAUUUCUGAAAAAUAUCAAGACUCACAUUUGUAAUCCUGAACAAUUUCGUUUGUCCAUAAUUAAAAUUCUUAACUGAAAAACACUUUUGAGGAUGGCGUGUCUAAAGGACCUUCAAAUUGUUUGACUGUAAUCUGAUAGUAUUCUGAUUCCAAAUUUUCUUUUAAUUCAGCUGAAUUUUUAGAAUUAAUGUCAACCAAAGUGCAGGCUGAGCAUUAUGGGUCCAAACCACGACUCAUAUUUGGUCAAUUCUAAGGUGGCUAGUUUCAAGUGAUAAUUAAACGGUGGGAUUGUCCCGAAGUUUUGAUGAAAACUGUUAGUGUUGUCAGAGAAGGGCCUAAAAAUUAGAUAACUAUUUAAUAUUUUAUAUUAUAAAAAUAAAAUAUUUUUGAUGAAAUUUGAUAAUGAAAUUUAUAAUAAUUUCCCAUAAAUAUUGAAAAACUCUUUUUAAUUCGUAUGGUCGAAGAUGCUCUAACAAUGCCAAACAUCAAAAGAAACUUUAAUUUAUAAUAAACGCCGACAAAUAAACACUCGUGGAGGCUAUAAUUAAUUUAUUAUACAUGUUCAUGUGAUAUUUUGCACCAAAUUUCUUCUCUCUUUUCUUUAGCCGCCUCGCUCUUUUCACAUCCCGACGGGGCUUUCACCGAUUUUUCGUUGGAAAGCCCCAAAUCCUUCCGUUUAAUUACUUGUUCUUUGUUUGCUCUUAUUUGUUUCAUUGAUUUUCUCAAUAAAACUCCCUCUUUGGGCAAAGUUAUCUUAGAUCUAUAUCAUCGAAACUUUUCAUUUUCGCUCUUAUUCGCUUUCAGAUGGAUUUUUGAAUUUGUGAGUGGAUUGAUCAUCUUCUAGUGUAGUUUCGUGGUGCAGAUCUAAUCAUCUUAGUAUGCAGUUGAAUUUUCUCUCGUGUGUUAUUUUGAUCUCUCUCCCUAGUGAGAGCGUGUGAUUUUUCUCUCCUUCUUUUGUCAAAGUUGGUUUGGAUUUCGAUAAAAGUCUUACGGUAAUUACAUUUGUGGUUGAUAGCUCAAACGGAUUUUUUGAAAAAGGUAGUGAACACAGAGUAAGGAUCUAUAAAUAGACCAUCGUCAAUUUCAACACCGCUUAUUUGUCUCAUCUUAAGUACGAAGACAGACGUGUUAAUCUAUUCUAUGUUAAUCUAUUCUAUGUUUGUUCGACUCUGUCGUUCUUGUAGAUGUCGUAUGACUGUUAUUUAUUGAAUUAUUAUUUUUUUAAAAAAGAAUUGUAUGUAAAAAAUUCUUAAUAUUAGUAAUUGUUUUUGGUGAACUUUUUUAUAUAUACUUCAGUGAAAUCAAAAAUUAACUCAACAAUUUUUUUUUUGAAAUGAAAAAUUAACUCUACAUUACUCGUUUAGAAAAAUUUCAUACGAGAAUAAUAACUUUUUUAAAGUAAAAUUUAACGGGCCACAUAAAUUUAAUUUGAGACGGAAAAGGUAGGACCUAAUGAAUGAGUUGAGUGGAGGACAAAAUGCUGAUAUAAUUAAAUGCAAAUGAAAGGAAUCUAGACACCCAGUGAAUUGGGAAUAUGCGGAGAAUGGGGGCUAUGUUAAGCAAGGCCCAUGCCUUGUCUCAAACAGAGACAAUGACCUCUCUUAUGAUUCUUUUCUUACACACUACAAGUUCCAAAGCAACAAUAAUUUAUAUUUUCCGCCCUUUCAUUUAAUUUUAUAUAUUUUUUAUUUUUUUCAUGAAUAAAUUCUAGUUUAUUUUAUAUAUUUUUACUUUUUAAUGAAUAAAAUUUUUAAUGACAAAUUUUAUUUAGAAACAACAAAUUUACUAAAUCAUAAAAUUAUAUUUUGCAGAAAUAUUAAAAUAGCAUUACCGUCUCUCAAUAUAUAUGCUCAGGGGCCGAGGGAGUAGUAAUAUUUACACACAACUAAAUACAAGAAAUAACUCGUAAAUUUAUUUGAAAUUCUGUAUCAAAUGACAUUAUCCAUCUAUAAAAAGUUAGAAUUUGAUUUUCAUUUAAAAUUUUGUAUUUGAUAAAAUAACAUUAUAAAUAUAUAAAAAAGUUCAAUUUGAAUUUUAUUUGAGUUACACAUUUCAAAUGACGUUUAAUAUUCUAUAUUUCAAAAUUGGAGAUUUGUUUAGCUUUUUAUGUUUAAAGAUAUCGAAUCAUCAUAUAUGUUACUUCAAAAAUAAAGAUUUAAAUUCCUUAUAAAUACUCAAAAUUUGUCGGAGGCAUAUAACCUCUGUAAUUUCCGGUUACCGGUUUCCUCUUGGGUUCCUAUCCCACCAAUCUUCUUUUAUAAAUUGAAGUGCCCAAACACCAAAAAUAUGCACACAAGAGAAGUCCCAAGUUUUUCAAUAACCUAACAAUCCAAAACCCUACCAUCACCCAUUUCUCUCAAUCCAAUCCUCUCACCACUAAUUCAAUUUGCAAUCUUUCCCAUAUCUCUCUUUUCCCACAAAAGCUUCUUUCUUCAUUGUUGAAAAAGCUUCCUCUUUUACUAUCCUCCCCUCUUUUUUGAUUCUCAAAACCCUAAUCUCUAUCCCCCCUCUGCAAUGCUAUAGCCCUUGAGCAAUUAGCACUCAUUUUUGGACUCCCAAAUCAUCUUUAUUCAUAAAGAUUCAAUUUUUAUUCAUCCCCAUCAAUUCAUUUUCAUAAAGAUUUGAUUUUUAGUUAUACCCAUCAAUUAAUUUUCUUAAAGAUUCGGUUUUUAUACACACCCUUGAUUUUGUUUGCGUAAAGAUUCAAUCUUUAUUGAUUUUCUUGAUAACAUGGCUCUUGCACACCCUCGUUUUAUUGGGACUAACAAGCCAAAAGUUGAUUCUUGUCAAAUGGCUUCUCCACAAUCACCAGUGAUUUUGACCCAAGAUGAAUUGAAGAAGAUUGCAGCUUACAAAGCUGUGGAAUUUGUCGAAUCGGGUAUGGUUUUGGGGUUAGGAACCGGGUCUACAGCUUGUCAUGCUGUGGCUCGAAUUGGGGAGCUUUUGCAACAAGGCAAGCUCAAGAACAUUGUAGGAAUACCUACGUCGAAAAAGACUCAUGAGCAGGCUGUUUCGGUGGGAAUUCCCUUGUCUGAUCUUGAUAAUUACCCGGUUCUUGAUCUCGCGAUAGACGGGGCAGAUGAGGUUGAUCCUUAUUUAAAUUUGGUUAAGGGGAGAGGUGGGUCUUUGUUGAGGGAGAAAAUGGUGGAAGGUGCUUGCAAGAAAUUUGUUGUAAUUGUCGAUGAAACAAAAUUGGUUAAGCAUAUAGGUGGGAGUGGAUUGGCUAUGCCGGUUGAGAUUGUGCCCUUUUGUUGGAAAUUUACUCUCGAGAGGCUUCAAAUGAUGUUUAUGGAUGCAGGGUGUGUUGCUAAGCUGCGGAGGUUUAUUGAAAAUGGUGAACCUUUUGUUACGGAUAAUGGGAAUUAUAUAAUUGAUUUGUAUUUUGAGAAAGAUAUUGGGGAUUUGAAGGUUGCUAGUGAUGAAAUUUUGAGGCUUGCUGGUGUUGUUGAGCAUGGAAUGUUUUUGGAUAUGGCUACGACAUUGAUUGUUGCAGGUGAGCUUGGUGUUACGGUCAAGAAUAAGUAGUUUAGCUUUUAGAGGCUUAUCUAUCAAUUUGCUUAGCUAACGUAUUAGUAUAUCUAUGGAAGGGUGGUAGGGAUUGCCCUGUUAAAUUUGGGCUACAAUGAGUCAAUUGUUGUAUCAGAUACAAUCUUGGAUAUGUGAUUGGGGAUGAUGUUCCGAAAGUUUUGCAAAUUCUUGACAUUUUUGUCUCAUCAUCUAAUUAUUAAUACAUUUCAUUUCCAAACAUAUCAUGGCUUCGUAAUAGUUAUCUUUAAUCUUUUAUUAUUUUUCGCGGUUGGAAUGUUGUGCAUGACAAUAAGUAAUUCUUCAAUCUUGUCUUCAUGUGGAUUGUUUCUGUUAACUAUUGCCUGUAGCAUAUGCUUGGAGUUAACCUGUAUGUUUGUUUUUAACUUUGGUUACUGGUUAACCUGUAUGUUUUGUAUGUUGCUCAUUAAUUUGUUCAACUAAUACAACUUUAUUAUCGAUAAUAAAACUUGUUGUUUUCAUUAUCACCAAUGGAUACCUGUUGGUUGUUAAUCAGCCUUUUUCUCUUUAAGCAUAGGUUUUUUUCCGAUUGAGUGCAUAAGUUAGGAUUGUAUUGUAAGUAGAAUUGAAAACGGUUGUCGUGGUAGGUUUUAUGAUAUUUCUUGAGCAGAGUCUUUCUGGUCGAAGGCAUCAGCUGGCAUCAGAUCUGUAUGUUAGUAGUGGAAAUGGUUAUAUUGCAGUUAGUCUUGUGAUAUUCUAUUGUGUAGUGUGGCUUUUGUGCUAUAUGUUCUAUGUGAUGGAUCCGCUCCAUUCUGUGCGGCUAAGUCUUAGAAGAUGUAACGAAGCAGACAUUGUACAUCCUAUCCUAGCCAGUUUUAGUUAAUUGUAGACCUAGGAACAUCUGAACUACCAAAGUACCUUCUGAUAGUUUGAUAUUUUACUGGUAGAAACUUAAUUGGAUUAGAUGCAUCCAAUUAAGUUUCAAACCUCUGAGCAAGUAGACAUUUUUCAUGAACCACCCUUCAAGUAAUACAGGUGAAGGUUUUGUUUAGACUCGCAGAAAUAAACCAGCAAGCUGAAUAAGUAUAAUUAGCGGAAUCGUCUCAACUUGCAGUAAUCCAAGCAAUUGAUGUAUGUAGUAAUUCAGGCAUGCAGAAGAGUAGCUGUUCUGAACUCCCUUGACAGAUCAGGUUUUCCCUAGCUUGAGUAUCAUAUUGAAGUAUUAGUUAUCAUUAGUGUCCACCACAAAAGGCAUAGCAACUAGCAAGUGUUGGUUUAUUUUAGAUUUUAGAUUGCAGCAUCAUAUCCAUUGCAAUAACAGUGUAGCUGCAGUUGCACUCACUCAGCAUUUGAUAUGGCAGAAGCUCAAUUUGAAUGUUACAGAAUCAGUCCAGUGGUCAUUAUCAAAUAUCAACCACGUGAGUUUGUUUAGCUGAAAAAAAAUAAUGACUGAUCGAUUUCAAUUUCAACCAGAUUUUAUAAUUUGGAUUUUAAUUAAUUUCCUAGGUUUGCUGAAACAGAGAUUUAUAUCAUAAAAGAAGUAGUUUAAAUUUACCUGAACAUGACAUGUGAACUCAACUUGAGUUACUCAAGUAAUCAACUUUCCUUGUAAUAAAGAAUAAUAUAUAAAAAAGUAGUCAUUAAAAAUGUGUGACACUGAAUUAUUGACGAUAAAAAGGUAAAUAAAAUAUAUAACUGAAAUGAGCAUUAUUUUUUAAAAUGUGAGUUAUUUUUUUAGUUUAAAUAGAUCGGAAUGAAAUGACUGAUCAAACGAAAAAUAUAUACAUAUUCUUCGUCAACCUAAUUUAUCGUAUAAAUCUUAUUUAUAUUAUUUUAUUCAAAUGAAAAUGGCCUUAAUUUUACGGAAUAAAAUACAUCCAACUUAUUUACCUGCCUUAAAUAUAUGUUGCUAAACAUCGUGAUUUUUGGAAAUGAUUUUAAGAUUAAAAAGAUUUAUAGUACUCCCUCCGUCCCAUUGGAUUGUUAACAUCACUUUUUGGCACGCUUUUUAAGGCCUCAAUAAAAUAUAGCUCCAUGAUGUUUUUUUUUAUAAAAAAAAUUCUGAAUAAAAGUUUGAUGUCUAAACUUUUAUUCAGGAAAAAAAUAAAUUUAAAAAAUAUUAUAUUGCUAUAUUUUAUAAAAGCCUCAAAAUGCGUGCAAACAGUGUAAGUUAACAAUCCCACCGGAGGGAGUACUAUCUUAUUAUCGGACACUGUCACUAUAUUUUAGUUUGAAAAAAUAUAGAAGUGCUCUCCUUUUCACUGUUCACUUGGCUUGUUUCGAGUUUUGGCAGCUCAGCUGUUUCAGCUGUUCCUUUCCUUCACAGCCCAACAAUAUCUCAGGUCUCUCCCUCCCUCUCUCUCUCUCAUUGUGUGUGUUGAAUUUUUAAUGGUUUCUUUCUGUGAAAUAGUAUAUGGGGUUUCUUUAUUUUGAUGUAUGUGAAUUGGUUUUUUUUUAUUCUUGAUAUUGAUUGUAAUGUCACCAGAAUUAAUCUUGUAAAGUUUUGUGAUUUUUUUGAUGGCUAAACGGGGUUUCUUUGUUUUGAUGUUUGAGAAUUGGGUUUUCUCAAUUCUUGAUAUUCAACUUUGAAUUCAAUGGCAAUUGGCACCAGAAUGGCUCUUUAAAAUUUGGAUUUUUUUUUUUUGGUUAUUUAUAAUCGAGUAAUAGUGUGUUAUUUGAAUGUGUUUGAUGUAUGGAACUAAGUUUGAGCUUAUGUUUUAUGUUUGAUUGUGCUGAAUUGGAUUAUUUUGUUUUCAUUAUUUUGUUAUAAGAAAUUGGUUUGGUUUUGAGAAUGGUGUAGGAGAAGCAAAUUUAGGGAGGUGGAGAAGUGGAAUAUCAAGGGGGAUAGGAGAGGGUCCCUGUCAAGGAUCGAGCCAUUUGUUUUGGCAGAGGAGAGAUCGAGCCAUUUGUUUUGGCAGAGAAGAGGACAAACAAGCUGACAUGCUUUCGGGAUUUAAGAAAUAUCAGGGUGGAUGGGACAUUGGUAAUAAGCAUUACUAGAUUGUGAGUGCUUUUCUCUUUAGUUAUCGCUCUUGGAUAUAUAAAGUUAUGUGUGUUUCUAAAUGUUUAGCUCUGUUCUGUUCUAUGUUUCUCCCAAUUAUACUAUUAUUUAAUUUUGUGGAAUAGUUAGUGAGUAAGAUAAAAUAUAUCAGGCAAGAUUCAUAGACUUCUGUUCGGGAGUAGAGACCUACAGGCUACAGUCUGUGUGUUAAACUUGAUGCUAGAAAUUAGGAAAGACAUUGAUUCUUGUUAAGACCUUCCACAGCCAAGAAGAAAGAGAAAGAAAUACAGUUUCUGUUAAAGUGAGAGUAAUUAGUAAGAAAUAUGAUUUGAGCUCUAGGAGAAUGAUUAUAGUAGGUAAUCACGGUUCAGUGUAGGCAUAUGAGGCCAGCUGUUCUAAAACACACACCUGCAGGGCACUGGCCUGCGGCUGUUGGAGUCCUCAAAACACUCACAAAAUGAAAAUGUAAUUAAUUAUAAACAGAGAGGAGUGAAUUCCAAUAAAAGAGUAGUAUUAUCCUAGUUCUUAUGAAACUGCACUAUUCAUCUAUGAUUAUCAUAGGAUUUGUCUGAGAAAUAAUCAAAUAAGGCAUCACAACCUGGAUUGUUUGUGAAACUUGAUUAGGCAAUAUAUGAUUACUUGAAUUCCCAGUCAUUACCAUUUACCAGUGUCAUCCUUAAAGUAAUCAUUGUGGACCUUAUCAUAUUUGCUGCAUGAAUAUAUAUAUAUAUAUUUCUAUACAUAUCUAUAUAUUUUUGAAGGUCUGUGGCGCAGUGUGUAUUAAAUUAUAGAUAUGUACUAGUUGUUAAAGUUGUUGCUAAUUUUUAGUCAUGCAUUUCUUACACCGACUGUCACAAAUGCAUUGCUUGCUGCUUAAGUUGUAUAACUCACACAUAUUAUGCAAUGCUAUUACUUUUCUUGUAAGAAUUAUCUUUUAUUAUCUUUUGUAUCUGACAAAUGCACUGCUCUUGGUUUAUGUCAUUUAGAAUUGUUCUUUGUGUACAUCAAUGCUGUAUGGCUGUCAUGCUGUGGGUGGAGAAUUGGUAUCAAAGGAAAAGAAUCUCCAUAUUCUGAAAGAAUAUUCUUGAUCUUGCUUAUAGACUUCACAUGUGCUGCAGGGUAAUAAUCUUGACACUACUUUAUGGCCUUCAAUUCUAGAUACUUCUAAUUUUCCUCGUCCUAAUGUCUGUUUGCACUUUACUUCUUUCAAUCUUGAUUCGUUUUCUUGGUAAGCCUAUCCGGUUGAGAUUGCUUUCACAACAAUACUUAUUAGUUAUAGUUUAUCUUUUAUCAUGAAUUACAUUAGUCUCUUAUAUAAACAUCGUGGUAUACCUAAAAACAGAAAUAACCCAUGGAUUCAUAAUACUUUUACUAGCAAGUGUUUGAUUCAGCUAACAUCACUCUUACAUUUACAAAAUAAUAAAAGCAGGAUCAAUCAAUUCAUCUAAUGCUGUUUCUAAGAGUUUAUAUACCGGACAAUAUGUCUUUUAUCCCCCCAAUUGCCUUGUAAUAUUGAAAUAUGGCAAGGGGAGCUGAAGACCAUCGGCCCGUACUAAAUUGACCUCUCAUGCUUUUCGCACUUUCUUCAAACUAAGAGUUCCUUUGUUUGGAUCAUAUAUUUCUUCAUGCAAGACUUUGGUGCACUGGACUUAAUAAUUCCAUUCUAAAGACAAAUUAUAUGCACAAAGAAUCCAGAGAUUAUAGUUUUUUGUUAACACACCUUUUCAUGUGUGCCAUGACUUAGGUGAUCAUUUCUGUUCCGGGUUCCGUAAAUCCAGCAUCCCCCUCCNNNNNNNNNNNNNNNNNNNNNNNNNNNNNNNNNNNNNNNNNNNNNNNNNNNNNNNNNNNNNNNNNNNNNNNNNNNNNNNNNNNNNNNNNNNNNNNNNNNNNNNNNNNNNNNNNNNNNNNNNNNNNNNNNNNNNNNNNNNNNNNNNNNNNNNNNNNNNNNNNNNNNNNNNNNNNNNNNNNNNNNNNNNNNNNNNNNNNNNNNNNNNNNNNNNNNNNNNNNNNNNNNNNNNNNNNNNNNNNNNNNNNNNNNNNNNNNNNNNNNNNNNNNNNNCCCCCCCCCCCCCCCCCCCCCCCCAAAAUGAUUAAUGCAUUUAUCAGCUUGGGUUACACUAGCUUGAACUUGAGAACAUGGCUGAAGUAGCCAAAUUAAAUUAACCAUAAACCAAUAGUAGUAUGAUCAAUGAGUUGAGGGGAUGCUAAAAUCUGAUAUUACUAAAGCAAAUGUUGGGAAUCUAGAAGCCCAGUGAGUUGGGAAUAUGCGGAGAAUGGUAGCAAUGAAAGCAAGGCCAAUGCCUUGUUCACCUCUCUAUCUUAUAAAGUUAAGGAGACCUCUCCAUUGAUUUCCUUUUCAUAUAGUAAGUCACAAAAUCACAUUAAUUUAAUCUAUCAUAACACGAUUGUAUAUAAAUAAUUUUCAACUUUUUUUAAAUAUGAUCAUUAACAAUCCAAUACAUUAUAAAAAAUUGAAGUGUUAUGCUGAUAUUUUUCUGUAUUUUUCUUAUAUAAGGGUGUUGUUUAUGUACUGUUUAUACUUUUAGUUAUCUAAUUAGAGCUAACUAGCUAAGUUAUGACUUAUGAAUAUAAUCCAAUAUUAUUAUUAUAAAACUAAAUAUGUAGAUUUCUGGUUACCCUCCAGGCCUCCCUCCCUAGUCCAGCCAAUUUUUUCCCUUAUUUUUGCUUAUAAAUUCAAGUGCCCAAACACAAAAAAUAUUCAGACAAAAAACACCCAAUUUUAUCUAUAACAAGCAAUCCAAAACCCUGCCACCACCCUUUUCUCUCCUCUCCCACAUUCUGACAAUCCAAUAUUCUCACAACCCAUUCAAAUUUGUAAUCAUUUCCACAUCUUUCUUUUCCCACAAUACCUUCUUCCUUGAUACAUACAUCAUGUACAGUAAUAUUGCAUGUAUUGUUAAAAAGCUUCCUUUUAUAUCCUCCACUCUUUUUCAAAUCUCAAAACUCUAAUCUUUAUCCUCUCCUCUGCAAUGCUACAGCCCUUGUUUAUUUUUGCUAAAUGCUGCUAUAGCCCUUUAGCAAUUGCCAAUUAGCAACCCAUUUUAGAGCCCUUUAGCAAUUAGCACCCAUUUUAGACCCUUGAUAUCUUCAUUACUCAUAAAGGUUCAAUUUUUAUUCAUACCCAUCAAUUUGUUUUCUUAAAGAUUUUUUGUUCUAACCCUCCAUUUUAUUUCCAUAAAGAUUUUAUUUUUACACACCCCCCAUUUUAUAUCCAUAUAGAUUCUAUUUUUAUUCAAUUUCUUGAUAUUAUGGCAAUUCCCCACCCUCAUUUUAUUGGGACUAACAAGCCAAAAGUUGAUCUUGUCAAAUGGAAUCUUCACAGUCAACUUUGAUUUUAACCCAAGAUGAAUUAAAGAAAAUCGCAGCCUACAAAGCUGUCGAAUUUGUCGAAUCAGAUACAGUUUUAGGGUUAGGAACUGGGUCUACUGCUUGUUAUGCUGUGGCUCGAAUUGGGGAGCUUUUGCAACAAGGAAAGCUCAAGAACAUUGUAGGAAUUCCUACGUCAAAAAAGACUCAUGAGCAGGCUGUUUCGGUUGGAAUUCCAUUAUCUGAUCUCGAUAAUUACCCGGUUCUUGAUCUUGCGAUAGAUGGGGCAGAUGAGGUUGAUCCUGAUUUGAAUUUGGUUAAGGGGAGAGGUGGGUGUUUGUUAAGAGAGAAAAUGGUGGAAGGUGCUUCCAAGAAAUUUGUCGUAAUUGUCGAUGAAACGAAAUUGGUUAAGCAUUUAGGUGGUAGUGGGUUGGCUAUGCCGGUUGAGGUUGUACCUUUUUGUUGGAAAUAUACUCUCGAGAGGCUUCAGAAGAUGUUUGUGCAUGCAGGGUGUGUUGCUAAGCUACGGAUAAUUAGUGAAAAUGGCGAACCUUUUGUUACGGAUAAUGGUAACUAUAUAAUUGAUUUAUAUUUAGAGAAAGAAAUCGGGGAUUUGAGGGUUGCUAGUGAUGAGAUUUUGAGGCUUGCCGGUGUUGCUGAGCAUGGAAUUUGUUUAGAUAUGGCUACUACAUUGAUCGUUGCAGGCGAGCUUGGUGUCACCAUCAAGAAUAAGUAGUUUAGCUUCAUAGUUUUGUCAAUUUAAUUGCUUAGCUAACGUAAUUGAAUAUCUAAAGAGUAGUCAGGAGUUUUCUGUUAAAUUCGGGUUAAAAUGGUCAAAUGUUGUAUAAAAUGUAAAUCAUGGAUGUAUGUUUGGGGUUAAUGUUCCUGAAAUUUUGCCAUUCCUUGACAUUUGGUCUCAUUAUCUAAUUAUCAAUACAUUCCGAUGGCCAGUAUAUCAUGUCUUUGUAAACUAUCCUUUAAGCUUUUAUUUUUCUCUCGUUUAAAAUGUUGUGCAUGACAAUAUUUAUUUUGAUAUCAAUCUUGUCCAUGUGGAUUUUUUUCUGGUAACUUAUUGCUUGUAAUGUUUGCUGUUUUUUUUUUGUUGGGUAACCUGUAUGUUUUGUAUGGUUACUCAGAAAUUCCAUUAACUAACACAGUUUCUUUCGGGGUAAUGCAACUUCUCAGGCUUGUUGUUUGUUGUUUUCUCGGUUGUAUAACUAUAUAAACUUUAAUUCUUGUGCAUUUGCUUUUUCCAGGUAGAUUUUACGUUAACUCGAAUCCGAAAAACUCCAACCCAAAUCAUAUUUUGCUGGUUAAAUUCGUUACGGGUGUUAUACCGUCCCCUUCCUGAGAUUUAAUCUGGCUUGGAUUUGGCGGCAGCUGCACUCACUCAAAAUUGAUGUGGCCAAGGCCCAAUCUGAAUGGUGCAAAAUCAAUACUGGUCCAGUGGAACCAAGAUUUAGCCCAUUACAUGUAAGCAGAGACUAUUGUCAUUUUCAUACAAAUCUAUUCUACAAAAUCUCAUCCCAGGGAGUAUUUAGUAUUUUACAUUCAAAACAAUUUGUUAGGUUUGCUGAUUCAUUUUGUUUUGUUCUUUUGUACACAGAACAAACUUUAACAAACAGAGUCGUAUAUCUUUAGUAAUGGUAGUCUAUUUCAAGUAUUAUCAAGUUAUCAACUUGCCUUAUGCUCACGUUUAUAAAGUCUUCACACAUAUCCUCAAUGUAACUAGCAGGAAAAGAAAUUAAAUGAAAAACAAAAUUGCAUGCAUCACCAGAUGGUUGAGUGCAUCAGAUUAUCAUAGCUAUUCUAGAAACUACUUUCAAUUAUGGGUCCUCGUCCCUGACAACCAUGUGUCAGGGACCGUUUAUAUAACACACACUACCAGGACCGUCGGAAUUCUAUUUGAAGGGUCUGGAUUAUCCGCGGAAGAGAAAAACUCCGAUCCGCGGAAAAUUAUAACGGAUCGGUAAAAAAAAAGUUUUCAUCCCCGCCAUUAAAAUACAGAUCUAAAGGCUCUUAAGCUGUGUGUUGGAUAAGGGCUCCAUAACAAUCACUUGUUAUGGACCAAAACCCUUCAAUUAUAUAAAUCAAUCCCUUUCAUUUCUAGUUUCUACUCAGCUUUGUUUUCGGAGAUUUUUUUAUCUUCAAGAACGGAAACUUAACACGUAUUUUAAGACUCCGAUAAAAUAAAGGCAGCCAACAUAAGAGACAAACAUGAAAGCAAGUUUAUUGCUUUCGGCCUAGAUACCAAUCCCAUGAAAAAGGAGACCCUACUGCGUUUAUUCAUUGUGUGUGAAGUGCAAUACGUGCUAUUGCUUUCCCCUCCUUUCAUUUUCGUCGUUAAUUUUUUAGCAAAGUAUCUUUCUCGUUCGUUCUUUUUACCUUGGCAUGCCUUUUAUCUUUUUGUUGCGAUUGUUGGACCGGAAAUUGUGCAUAAACACCGUAUUCAGUUUUAGUCAAUUGAAAACUUUGUAUUAAAAAAUGGGUUUUGGUUCAUAACAAGCGUUUGUUAUGGAGGGUUUAUCCAACACACAACUUCAGAGUGGUUAGAUCUGUAUUUUAAUGAUCGGGAUGAAAGUUUUUAUUUUUACCGAUCCGCUAUAAUUCUCUGUGGAUCAGAGCUAUUCCUUUUCACGAAACCGAAAAGUUCUCAUCUGCGAAAAAUUAUAGCGGAUCGGUAAAGAAAAAGCUUCAAUCCGGACCCUUAUUAUAUAGAUCCGACACGCCGGAUAAUGUAUGUUAUAUAAACGGACGGUCUUUGACAAACGGUUGUCGGAGACCAGGACUCUUAAAAAAUAGAUAUCGAAGUUAAUGCGAUAUUUAGAAUUGAAAAUGUUUUGUUCCGAAUUUCGGAUAUGAUACUUAUUUUAAAAUUUUAGGUGGUUAGUGAGAUAGUGCGAUGAUGUAGAGGUUGAGUGAGAAAUGUACCAAGCAUUUCUUAAUCCCGUUAAUUACCAUUUAAACAUAUAUUUAACAGUUUAAAAGCUACUGAGAAUGGACAAUUUGCAUUUUUAAGGAAGAGAGUGCAAUUUUGCCGCAAAAUUACAUUUUUUUAAUACGCAUGCAGUCUUUUUCUCGUUCGUUGAAAGAAAAGUGAAAGCAAUUGGUUUGAUUUAAAAAAUGUCAUGUCGAUGAAUUACGUACCUACUCCUUUCAUUCGAUGAAAUUAAAUCUAGUUUAUUUUGAUGAAACUAAAUCUCUUAAAAAAUAAAAUAAGAACACGAUAUUUUUCGAGAUAUCCUGAGAUAUGGCCUAUGGGUCAAUAUGGAUAGAUAUAUCCAAAAUUCCGGAAAUUAAUAUUUAUAUCGGAUAUUAUAUAACAUAGGUUUUUUUUAGAAACAUUUUAGAAAAUGAUAUUAUUUAUAAAAUCGAAUAAAAAAUUUAGGGUGACUCCUGGCCCCUGGGAUGGAUCAGGAUCUUUAUGAGAUGUGAACAAAGAUCCGGGUCAGGUCGGGCCGCAACUUUAUUAGACGCGUUUGGGCCCCCAUGUCGCCCCUGAGCCUAUCUAUUAAUUUUGCACUCUCUUUUGUUGCCGACUCUAUAAUAAUAUGUCUAUAUUUUAAUCAUCAUUAUGCCUCCUAAUGGGAUUUUAAUUAAUUGCUUGCUCCGGUGUGAAUCAGGAGGCAAGUUAUUUUUCUUCGAAAUUGAUUAUUUUUACUGAAAGUAUACAGUUUACAUGACGUGUACUUUCUUAGCUUAAAUAUAAAUAAAAUUUAUAGAAAGAUAUAUAAAUGUCCCAUUUAAUUGUAUAUUUUUCUUUUUCACAGCUCGACAUGCACUUUAAUACUUUUAUAAAAUAUAGUUUCAUAACUUAUUUUUCUUAAAUUUCUUUUUCUGAAUAAAAAUAUAACAUUCAAACUUUUAUUCAGAAAAAAAUAAUCUUAAAAAUAAGUUAUAAAACUAUAUUUUAUAGGAGUAUUUAAAUCCGUACCGCGUCUCCGUCCUCAAUGUAUAUAACUAGGGGUGGCAAUCGUUUCGUUUCGUGUACUCAAAGGUGAAACCCGUAUCCGCCCGUUAUUAAUUUCGUGUACCUACUUUGAAACCCGUAUCCGAUCCGAAACGUUUCGUGUAUAUUAUAUAUAAAAAUAUCAAUAUAAUUUUUAAUCAAAAAAUAGAUUUAAUAUAUAAUUUCCUUCAUAAUUUUAGUAAAUGUGAAUGAUAUAUUUAUACUUGUAUACAAUUCUCUAUAAAUUUGUUAAUGUAUCUACAAUAUAUAUCCACACAUACAUAUAAAUAUAUACUUUUUACACAAUUAUAUAUUUAAUAUAUCAUAACAUAUAUAUAAUAAAUAUUAUGUACCAAUAUUUCGUAUACUUUCGUAUAUUUCGUGUACUCCAAAUGAAAACCCAUAUCCGACACGAAAUCUAUCGUGUAAUUUCGUGUUCGUGUACUUUCGUGUUUCGUGUAUCAAAAAUCAAAACCCAUAUCCAUUUUUUCUGUGUCGUUUCGUUUCGUGUUAGCGUGUUACGUAUCAAAUUGCCAUGUCUAUAUAUAACUCAAGGGGACGGAGGGAGUAUAUAUUAAAACAAAUAUACUAAUAAAUUAUAAAUAUUUCGACCGCAUGACUUACUAGUUUUACAGUCCGCGAACAGAUCCUUAAGAUUUCCCCUGGCCCACUCCAAAUAGACAAGAUUUUAAGAAAUACCUGACACCAUUACGUGUUUUUUUUGUAAGAUUUACGUAUUGCUUUUCAAUCAUUUUUUUUUCUCACUAAAUACAAAGCCAAAAUAUGUAAUUGUUGUUUCAUACUUUAACAAAAAUCACGUAACAAUAAUGUCAAAAAAUUACAGAUACUCGUAAAUCACUACAAAGAAUAAUACUGGUGAUAUCAAACCCGAAUGUCAAACAACAUAAUUAACUCACGCUAUUUUACAUUUAUAAGGAUCAAUUUUUAUUACUUAAAUAUUAAAAAUUAAUUUAAAAACAAAUUCGAACUCGAGCUCGAGAUUAAAAAAAUUAAUCGGCACUUGGACGUAACAUAACACACUAAACCGAGCUGAACUUUGCUUGGUUCACUCUCUUUCGUUUAUUCACACCCCGCCUUUUUCGUUCCCCAUCUCUUUCCCAUGUGAUCAUAUUUCUCUCCAUACAUACAUAUUUCUACAUGCGUGUGUCUCUUUUUUACACUUAAAAGUGCAACUUAGCUCUUAUAACAAGAAAAGAACGGAAUGAUGGCUAAUCAGAUUCUUGGAUUUCUCUAUUAAAUGAUGUUUUAUGACUCUUUGUGCACUAUAAAAUCCGUCAUUUAUGGGUGUUGAUACACUGUUUUUUGUAACAGCUGGUGAAAAAUGAAGAGAAGUGAUAUUGGUUUGUUCUUCAUUGCUCACUUGGGUGUCUUGGUGAUUGUUGGUUUGAGUUUUUGCAGCUCGGUUUUAGCUGUGGAGGAACAGCCUGAUCGAGAAAGUCUCGACUUUAUUUUAGGUUUGUCAUCUCUCUCUCUCCCACCCCUCUCUCUCUCUCUCCCUCUCCCUCCCCCCCCUCUCUCUCUCUCCCUCCCUCCCUCCCUCCCUCUCUCUCUCGCUGUUUAUGGUUUCUUUUUGUGAAAUGGUGAAAUGGUGAAAUGGGAUUUUUAUUUUUGAUGUAUGUGAAUUGGGUUUUCUUGAUUCUUGAUUUUGAUCACCUGGUGAUUGCAAUGUACAAGAGUCAGUCUCUUAUGAUUAUAUUGCAAUGGCACACAAACGGCUCCUUUAAAUUUGGGAGUUUUCUUUGUCACUUUAUAAUUCAGUACUAGUGUGUUACAUAGUGUUAUUUCUGCCCUGUUUGCAAAUUGUAGUUGUGCUUGUGCAUAUCUUGAAAUGUUUGAUUAUACUGAAUUGCACUAUUCUGUGAUUGACAUUAGGUGAUACAAAUUUAGGGAGGUGGAGAAGUGGAAUAUCGAGGGCAAUCGCAGAGGCCCCUGGUCCAGGAUCAAGCCCAUUUGUUUUGGCAGAGAAAAGGACACGCAGGCCGGACAUACUCUCCGGCUUUAAAAAAUAUCAGGGUGGAUGGGACAUUGUCAAUAAGCAUUACUGGGCUGUGAGUGUUUUUCUCUUUAGUUCUCGCUCUGAGAAUAUAUAUAUAUUGCUGUGUGCUUCUGAUUGUUUAUCUUUGAUAUGUUCUACUAAGUUUCUCUCGAAUUAUAUUGACAUGUUGUAGUUUUAUGGAAUAGUUGGUGGUGAUUAAGCGAAUAUAUCAGGAAAAGUUUAUAGACUUCCGUUCUUGAGUAGGAACCUACAUUUGUGUGUUAAACUGGAAGCUAGGAAAGACAUCGAAAAUAUCUAAGAGCUUCAACAGCCAAGAAAAAAGAGAAAGAAAUACAGCUUCCAUUGAAGUGAUAGUAAUUGGAAAGAAAUAUGACUUGGCUGUAGAAGAAGUAUUAUAGUAGGUUGUUUGAGGCCUGCUGUUCCAGAACACACACUUGCAGGGUACCUACUUGUGGCUGAAGGAGUCUUCAGACCAUUUACGGACCAAAAAGAUGUAAUUAUUUAUAUAUAUAUAAAGAAAGAAAAAAAUUCAAGAAAAGUGUUGAGAGGGAUUAAUUAUCUCAGUUCUUCUGAAACUUUACUUUUUUACUUGUGAUUAUCCAAGGAUUUUUUAAGAAAAAGGCUGUUAGCUGGCUUGUUUGUCAACUUGGUCAUGCAAUAUGAUUAGUUAAGUCCCCAGUGCAUGACCAGUAUUGUUCUCCAAGUAAUCGUUGUGAAUUUUACAUUUCUACAUAUUUCUGAAGUUUUGUGGUGCUGUGUGUAUUUGAAUAUUGAUUAAUUAGUUGCUAAACUUGUUGCAACAAAAUGCUUGCUACUUUCAGUAAUGCACCUUAUAAACCGCCCACACAAAUGUAGUGUUUGCUGCUUAAGUUGGACAACCCACACAAAUUAUGCAAUGCUAUUAAUUUUCUUGAAAGAAUUAUCUUUUGAUAUCUUUUGUAUUUGACAACUGCAUCUGCAGUCUGUAGGAUAUACAGGUAUUUCUGGUUUCAUUCUUGCCGUGCUGUGGUUUGUGUCAUUUGGAAUUGCUCUUGGUGUACAUCAAUGCUGUGGGUGGAGAAUUAACAUUAGAGGAAAAGAAACACCCCGUUCUCAAAGGAUUUGUUUGAUCUUGCUCGUUGUCUUCACAUGUGCCGCAGCGUAAUAAUCUUAACACUGAAUUAUGGCUCUCAUAUCUAUAUAAUUCUAAUUUUCCUGUCCUUGUGUCUGUUUGCACUCUAUUCUUUCCAAUAUUGAUCCUUUUUUUUUUUUUUUUGGUAAGCCCAUCUGGUCGAAACUUGCUUCGGCAGCAAUCCUUAUUGGUUAAAGUUUAUCUUUUAUAUGAAUUACAGUCUCUUAUAUAGACAUCUUGGUAGAUCCAGAAAAGAGAAAUAGCCUAAGGAUUCAUAUUUUUACCACCAAGUCUUUGUGUUAUUUAAGGUCACUUUUACAUUUACUCAUUAAUAACAGCAGUGACAAUAAAUUCAUCUAAUGCUGUUUCUAAGGGUUUAUAUACACAACAUUUCUUUUAUCCUCCAUUUGCCUUGAAAAUUUGAACUAUGGCCACAGGAACGCUAAAGACCGUACUAGCUAUGAAUUUCCCUCCCCUACUAAAGUCUAAAUUGACCUUUCAUACUUUAAGCACUUUCUUCUGAUUAAGAGUUCCUCUGUUUAAAGUAUAUAUUUCUGCACCAGACUUCAAUGCACUGGAGUGAAUUUUCCUUACUAUGACAGUUCACAAAGAAUCCAUAGAGGUGGUUAGAGCGAGAAUGCCAUCGGGCCUUUUGUUUACGUACUUAUUUUAAUGUGUGCCGUGACUUAGGUGAUCAUAUCUGUGCCGUGUGCCGUAUAUCCAUCAUUUUCCCUUGCUGAUUAAUGCCUUUAUCAGCUUGGGUUACACAAGCUACUUUUCAUUUAUGUUUUUUUUAUGGUGUUUCCAGUAAUUAUACAUACCCCAAGGCACUCUAUUCAACCCUGUCUAACAAUGGGCCAAUAUCUUUAUUGCUCAGGAUUGGAUGUAUUCUACUUUCGGUUGGACAGGAUGAAUUUCGUGGUGAAGCACUACAUACUCUAAAUUAUGUAGUGAAUCAGUCAGACUUCACUGUUCAGACUCUGAGAAAUGUCACGGGGUAUCUGUCACUUGCAAAGACAGUAAAUGUCGCACAACUUUUUUUACCUUCAGAUAUCAAAGAUGAUAUUGACAAGCUGAAUGUAGACCUAAAUACUGCUGCAGAAACACUCUGGGAGAAAACAGAUGAAAAUUCGAUCAAGAUCAGAAGGGUGUUUGAUGCUGUGUAUGAUCUUGUUGACUUUAUAAAUAGUAGUUUCAGUUGGUCUAGUGUGUGCUAUAACCUCCUGUCCUAAGCUGAUUAGCUAUGUGUGUGUUGCAGGCGAUCAGCUUUGAUUACUGUUGCAGCGGUGAUGCUUCUUGUUUCCGUUCUGGGUCUUGGUAUGUAUUACUAUACCCAUCAGCCAUCUUCUUUUACUUUUCCCCUUAAAUAUAUCUAUCUUGUCAGUAUACUGAUAUAGUUAACUAUAUAUCUCUCUGCAGUUCUGUCCGUGCUUGGUCAUCGACAUGCAAUUUACAUGUAACUAAUCUUAGCAUUACCUUUGCUGAAUGACUUAAUGACAGCACUCAUAAUUAUAUCUCUUUAUCCUCUACAAAUUUCUUACUUUUUCAAAAUUGCAAUGCAGAUUUGUUGUUAGUGGAUGGAUACUCGUUGCAGUUACUUUCAUUCUUUGUGGAGUUUUCCUGAUUCUCGAAAAGUAAGUUACCAAUAUAGUUUUAAAUAUACACUUCAAAAACCCAGUUUUUGGUUCAACUUAUAAAUACACUAGUCACUAUUACACUUUUUUCAAUAGCUGUUCUUUUUUUCCAAGAGAUGGAUGAUAUAUUGGUUUUCAAAAUUAUCUCCAAAGAUUUUCGCGCAUUUAAAGAUAUGCAUAUACUUGCUUCAUAUCGUAUUCGUAAUGAUGAAGCAUGCAUUAUGUUUGCUCAAUUAAGCAUUUCAGUUUAGAAUCUGUCUAUUUUGUAGUGCAUUCAAAUAUUUCAUCUUUGGUUAAACUUCUGCAGUUAGUUAUGUAUCAUCUGCUGUAAUAGAUUACAGUAUGCAAAAUAGUGUAAUUUCUGCUUGUUUUACAUGGCUCCACUUUGUGAUAUCAGCUGCUGCUUGUUUUAUACGACUCCAUUAGCUAUGCAUUUAUCCAUCAUACACAUACUUAUCAUAUCCUGUAACUCAUUGCUAAAAGGAUUCCUGCCUGUGUAGACCCUUUGUUCAGUUUGUUAUCUGGGUUCUAGACAGAUAUUUACACUUAAUUAGAAAAACAAAAUAAGCUCAAAGCACAUUGAAUUUCUGAUGCUGAGAUGGUAGUAAAUGAAUUGUGUUUCAGUGCAAUUGCUGAUACCUGUGUGGCAAUGGACGAAUGGGUGGAUCACCCCCAUGCUGAAACUGCUCUUAGUAAUAUACUUCCAUGUGUUGACCAGAGAACGACAAACCAGACACUGAUAGAAAGUAAAGAAGUCACCAAUGCUAUUGUAGAUAUUGUGAACGAGUUUCUAGAUAAUUUUGCCAACUCAAAUCCACCUCCUCAGGCAUAUCCCAGUUAUUACAACCAGUCAGGACCUCUUAUGCCUCAUCUAUGCCAGCCAUACGACUCCCAUCUGCUAGAUCGCCAGUGUCCACCUCAAGAGGUUUCCAUGGCAAAUGCUUCUCAGGUAUGUAGUCUCUUGUUUACGUGCCUGGAAAUAUUACUGUAAUAGGUUUCUAUUGGAACACAUCUGUUUUUGUUAUAGGCAGCUGAACUUGUAUCCAUCGCUUGUACAUUUUUAGGUUUGGCAGAACUACAUUUGCACGUCAUCAGGAUUUGGUGUCUGCAGCAGCGUUGGAAGGUUGACCCCAGAUAUGUAUGACCAGUUGGUGGAUGCAGUCAAUGUUAGUAAUGCCCUUCAACAUUACGCCCCUAUAUUGCUUAGUCUUCAAGACUGCAACUUCGUACGUGAUACAUUCCAUUCUAUCGUACUUGACUACUGCCCUCCACUAGAACACCGUCUCCAAGUAGUUAACGCAGGACUCGGCCUAAUCUCAGUAGGAGUUAUGCUCAGUCUUGUGCUAUGGAUAAUCUACGCAUACCGCCCCGCAGAGGAGGAAGUGUUUGCUAAGAGUCCAUUAACACAAAAAGGGCAGCUAUGGAUCAUCAAGAACCAGAGCUCAGACAACUGUUGAAGCUUAGGAAAAUACUUUUCGCUCUAGUGUUGGAAGCGUUGUUGUGUUAUGACCCAUCUCAAACUGUUGCAAAGCAAGAGUUUGAUUCUGUGGUUAUUGUAUAUUAGGAUUAUAUAAUACUAGUAAUUUUGAACCUCAAGGCCUAUACAUAUUAUGGAACAGCGUGUUCAUUGUUAAUCUGGUCUUUCAACUUGGUUUAUAAACUGAUAAAGAUUAAUCAAAGACAUGGCCGGUCAAAGACCGUGCUAACCUUGUUUCAACGGAUUAAUACAGCGAUAAUCUUUAUGGCAUGUUCGGGAACUUGAAGCUUAUUUUAAAUUCUGGAUUUGAUCAACUGUCAUAUUUGAAUACACAAAAAAUGUUGGAUUUUAAUUUCAUUUGAAAUCCAGGAUACUAGUAUAAAAUCGGUAAUCUGAAAUGACGUCUCAAAUUAUGUCAUUUAAAAUCCAGAAUUUGAGAUGGCAUACAUGUUCCCAAACAUAAUCUUAGCUCGAACACAAAAUCCGCUAAGAUAUUACAUUGCCUGCUUACUUUCUGUAAACUGGUAAUAAUUACGCUUAAUACACAAAAUCCACUAAGAUAUUACAUUGCCUGCUUACUUUCAGUAAACUGGUAAUAAUUACAACCCGGUUCGAUAUUUACGGACUCUAUAAAAUCUGAAAGUAUGAUACACAAAAUAUCCACACAUACAUAUUAUAUGGAAACCUGAAGGGUGCCUGUUCUGUAUCUAUGGAGAGCAUGCUUUCGAGCUCAUCCUGUUUUGUUUAUAAAGUCUUUUAACUAAAACCUAAACUUGACCAGUUAUGUUCAAGUUGGAGCACCACUUUCAUGGCAGCCUUUAGUGCCAAAAGAAACCAGUCACAUCGACUCAGCUUGUUACUUGAGAUUGUUGUAACAGAUCCAUCAUGGAACUUGAAUGCUUUCGGGUUGAUUCUGCAAAAUUGCCGCAUCAUCAGCUUCUUCAUCAUCAGAUCGUACCGAGGAUACACUGGUAGCCUAUCAACGACCAUUUAGAAAAAAUAGAACAAAUAUGUCAGUUUAAUCCCUCGCAAACUUUAAUCCUUACAGAUUCAACUUUAUCUACCGUGAUUUAUUUAAAAUAAUCCUUGGAGAUGUGACACAAAAGGAAGUAUGUUUUAAAGUGAUUGCAGAAGUUGGGUCAGCUACAGUUUGGCAAAGUACCUGUCGUUGGCGACGGCGACCAUGUAGAGCUUUCAGUAUGAUGUAAACUGGGAGAAGGAUCCCUAAAAUUCGCAGUAGCGGUAACUGAAACAAAGAACAGCAAAAAGGUUACCAUAAGGAAAAACUGGCAGUUGGCACUUUUUGAGCUAGUUUCUCUUACCACAAACAAUGGGAAAGAGAAAUUAUCUGAUCCUGUGGCAAAGAUUGGAACAGCAUGCCUUAGAAUUAAUAGGACCAUGAACUGCACAGAAAAAGAAACAUAUAAAAUUCUGUCAGAAUGAUGUAAUUGAUGAUAGACAUCAAACUGUGUUGUUGAACCAAACAUUCCUUCGUCAUCUAUUUUAGGGGACAGUGAUAUUUCAAAUGUCAGAUACGUACUAAUAAGAUAAAUUUAGCAAAUGCACGAUAUAUCUUGAACCAGUCAACGUCCCUUAAUUAUGGAACAGGUUCAUUAUCGAAAACCUUUAAAAUUAAACAUCACUUGAGAGAAUCAGUUCAGGUUUUCCCCCCAACAAAAUCCUGAACUGACUUGGCCAACUUCACUUUCCCUCAUUUGAUAUGUAUUUAUUUCACCUUGAAUGAAGUAUUGGACUGGUCUUAUCAAACACAUGUUAAAAAAAUAUAAUGAUUUCCUAAAUAUCACUUAUAUAAGGAAUUGUGUCACUAAUUACUAUGUUGAGGUAAGAAGAGAUACUUACAAUUGCAACAACUAAACGAAAGCAUAUCAAAUUUCUUGAUGACGAAUCUGCAUAUUCAUCAUAUGUAGGACUGAGAAAGUUGCGAUGAGUUGAAACCAUGGCAACCAAACGGGGAUUAUUCAAGUCACGCCUGCUAAUUUGCCAGCUACCCCUGGCACAAAAAAUCAAAUGGAAGAUUCUUCAAAUUUCUGAUCAUGGAAUUGUAUAAAUAACAAUUUCUUAAAUGAAUCAAGAUAAAAUAAAAUACCUCAAGUUCAUUGGGAUGCCCCCAAAUCGAAAGAGAGGAGGUGGUGCUGUGUAGUUUGGGGUGAAUUGCUGAAAAUUCAUGAAUUUCUAACAGUCAGAGCAUUUACAAUUACAUAGGCAACAGGUUUGAAAAAAGUUGGAGCAACGUGUGGAAUAAAAAAGGGUAAUAGUACGAAUUUACUGGUCAAAUUAAUGCUAAAAAAGACAUGCCUGAUGACAUAUCUCGCACAUAGUGUUACCCUUCUCGUUACACCACUUUUGCACACAUCUGCGAUGAGCAUACUACAAAAACAAAGUAAACAUGAGCUUUAAAAGUUGCCAACCAUAACUUUAUGGAUGCACGAAGCAUGGAAACAAUAUUAACAUUCAAAGAAUUAAUUUACAUUAUCUUCUAAAUAAGAAAAGUAUAUCAGCUUAAAGCAAUUCUUAUACUAAAACAGGCUUUAGGGGAAAUUGCAUUUGGCAACAAUGCAAGUUCUCGAUGAGUAAACAAGUCAAAGUUCUGCAUUACACAAAUGUUCACCAAACUUUACUUAAGAUCAAAAGACAUCGAGAGGCAAUCCCAUUUCCUUUUGUUUCAAACAUUUCAUUGAUUGGGUGAACUUUGGCAUUUCAGGAUGAGGUUCUGUUCUUAGUAAGGGGUGGCUGUACCCUAAAAGUUUCCAUUUGUGCAUUGUUAGGUCCUCCUUGAAUUACUUAUUUUCAACAUGCCAUACUUAUUUGCAUAUUAAUGGUACUUAGUAAUUAGUAUUAGUUAGGUUAGUACUUUCCUUGUUUAAAAGGUCCACAUGAAGCAAAGAACAGUACAUCACGAGAAGGGAGUAAAAAUAAGAAACUUAAAACAAAAGGGAAGUAUAUGUAUAUGUGUAUAUAUAUUUAUGGAGAGAUGGAGUAGCAAAUAAAAGACUAGUUAAAGGUCCGGUAAAUUCUUUAAAAGUAAGUAGAAUUUCAGCCUACCACUCUUGCAAGGCAACUCAAAAAUCUGAAAUAUAAACAGAAAUCAAAUCAAACUUUUCCACAACAAAUAAACUCCACAAUUACUUGGCACAAGCUGGCCAUUUCAAAUUUCCCAAAUCUCCUCAACGUGUAUAUAUGAUGAGUGUUCGUAGUAAGAAAUUUUUACUAGAUAAAGCAAUAUGUUGAUGUCAGAAGUAUUAAAUAUUGCAUACAAGUUGACAUACAUGCAAAUUUGCAAAAUAUCAAUCGUCAUUUCACUAAUCUGUGGACCAGCGAGGAAUUGUGAACUUUAUUGCAAAAAAGUUGUUCUAGUAAUGUUUUUAACAUGUAAAGGUCAACACAAUUUUAGUGAAACUUCACCCCCACUUCAUCCGGCUUCAGAAUUAUAUAACAGAAUGAAAAUAUUGUCAAAAGUAGAAAGGAUACCAGGACCAGCAUUAAUCACAAUACAAAUGUUACUCUAGAGACUUAACCUGAUAUGUGAGCCUCCAGAGUCAUACAUGCGAAAUGAACACUACUCUAAAAGGACAAUGCAAAUACGCAAUAACAAUAAUCAACAUGUAGUGUAACUGACCUUCAAGCUGCCACGGCAAGAGCAAGGUGUCUCCAUUUUUGAAUCAAAAUCCUCAUCCUGGCAUAUCCUGCAUUCAACCACUUUCCUAGGAGCGAAACCAAUUUCAGAAUCUGAAUGUGAAGCACAAUCAAUUACAACAUCAUUGUUUUCUGCGGAUCCUGAUUGUUUUGAUGGGUUCCUGCUCUCAAUUGCAGCCUCCAAAGUGGAUUCAGUAAGCAAGCGAUCAACGAGCAACACAAAAUGGUCCCCCAUUCCCAGAUAACACCUACUGAAAAUAAAAUGCAACCAACAAACUCAGUUUCUCGUCCCAAACCUAACUACAUCAUCCAACGCCAAGUAUUUCAACAAAAAGAGCACAAAAAACCUACUUACUCAUAUUAUAUAAAGGCAUGUGCUGUGUGUAUCUAUACAUAUAAAUACUAGGAAUCUCCAUAAAGUAGAACUAUCAUGUGAAUUUUAUACCCAAAACAACAUACAGGUUUUAAAUUAGUUUCUAAUUGAGUUGAAGUACUGAAAAGCCCUAAAAGAAAGCUAAAAACAUAUUUUACCUCCCGACCAAGAUCAAAUUCAAAUUGAAUGAAGCAACAAAGUUUUAACCAAUACAAUCACAACGGUGCUUGAACCAAUUUACUUAUAAAUAGCACAGAACAAAAGAUAAACCCAAGCUUCUAGGAUCAAUUACACAUAUCACAAAAAGUAUAAAAGUUUAAGUUGGAGUUCCACCCAAAAAACAAAUCAAAGCUAGUAAACAAGCAAUGGUCUAAAGACAUGAACCAAAAAUAAGAGAAUUGAAAUUUCACAUAAAGUACUCAGCUUUUUCAAUUCUCUCCCCUUAAAAGUCCCAAAAAUCAAGAAAAGCACCUUAUUCAACACAACAAUUCCAAAGCUUUAUAAACACACAAAGAUUCCAACAACAUACAAGAAAUUGAAACAAAAUGAGACCAACCCAGAUGAGCAAAACUGAAACAAUAAUCAAACAACAUAAAAUCAUCAAGAAAUAAGCAGAAAAAACAAAAGGGUCAUCAUAAAGACUUACAACAAGGGGGAUCUAUAUGUUUCAGCUAAGAAAGUUUUGAUCUUUACCCUUUUCUUGGCCUGCAAAAUCACUCUAUGUAUGUUCAAAUUGAAGCAAAGAGAUGGAGUAUAGUGAUUUUUGUGAAAUUUAAAAGCUACCCAUUAACCUAAUACAUAUCCACAAUACCCAUGUAUAUUUCUGUUACAGUACUAUGUAUUAUGUAUGUGGAGUUUUGUCCUAUGUGCUUGAAAAUGUUGUCAGUGUUUGACACAAUUGCAUAUACUUACAAGGGGUUUGUAUGUAUAUGUUUGGGGGAGUUUAUGUAGAGGAAAGGAGAGAAGUGAGGGGAGGAUUUAACGGCUAAGCCGGUCACUGCGGCCACGAUUCUUUUUUUGAUUUGUUUAAUCUUUGGAGUAAUUUAGAUGAUCUUGGGGCAAGAUUGAUUAAAUGAAGUGGAGUUGUGAAUUUAUUGUGUGAGGAUUAGUAUGAUUGGAUAAUCUUUCUUUAUUAGAAAAUAAUUAAUGUGAUAUUAAUAUGUGUGGGAGGUUUUUCGAGUAAAAAUUUGUGUUCAAUUCGUUUCAAACUUAUAAAUAUUAUUAAUAGUAAUAACAUUUCAAAUCGUGAGAGCAUCUCCGUCAGCUUCCCUGUAUGGUGUCCUAAAUUAUUAAUAUAAAGAAUAUGACAUAAAACACAACUCCAGCAGAAUCUUGACCAUUUCUUAAAAAGUUAGAAUGCCCACUCCAUUCCUAUUUUUAAGGAUUGUGGAACCAUUCCUCAUACUAUUUUGAACAAUCAAAUAUUCACUUCUCGCCAUUUCACCCUCUUUCCUUACUUUCUCUCUCCUACUUACAAGUUGAAUAUAAGAGCAUCUCCAGCCGUGUCUUAGUGUCUUCCUUAUAAAUAUUAUAAAAUAUUGAAUCCUAAUAAUUUAGGACAAGAUUUUGUAUUUCAACUCCAACAAUGAUCCUUAUAAUUCAUUCCUUAUUAUUAUUAUAAUAAUAAAUUUGGAAAGAGAUUGAUAAAAGAUGGAAGGAAGAGAGAGAAAAUAAGUUACAAUAAGAGAGAGAAAUGAUUUUUUUAUUAAAGAAAUCAAAUAAGGCAUGGCUAGUGGUGCCUUAUUAAUAAGGCAUGGAAGGAGGAUCCUAGUGAUUUAAGGCACCUCUAAGACACUGCUGGAGCACUAAUUUAUGUCACAUUCCUUAUAAUUGAACUUAGGACAUGAAAUAGGGAAGCUGCCGGAGUUGCUCUAAUAUUAUAAUAAUAAUAGGGAAUAGAAAUAUGGAAUGUUGUUGGAGUUUCCAUUCAAUAAAAUGUAGUAAUCCCUUAAAAAAUGAAUAUUUUAUUAUAUAUUUAAGGAACAUGUUAGGACUCUGCUGGAGAUUCUCUGAGUACCAGUAUAACUAGAUAAAUCAAUAUAAAUUAGUAAAUUCUAACCGUGUCUCUUUCAUUUCUUUAUAAUCUCUUUACAUUACUCGGCAUGAUUUUAAAGCGCAUGUCAAACAUAAUUUCAUAAUUUAAUUUUUAAAUUUUUCCUUUUAUACAAAUUUAAACAUUAAAAUUUUAUUUAAAAAUAAUUUUUUUUUUUUUUUGAAGCAAAGGUGUUAAUCUAAUAACAAAAAGCCAUACGGCAUCUACACCAAUGAUCGAGUCGAACAAACAGUAAUUUGCAAUCGCCUGUUCUCAUAAGGAGACAGUUAAACGAUAUUUUGAAGAAAAUGUAUAUACAAAUACAAGUACCCGCUUCAUGCAUCCUCGUUGAAUUACUGGUACCCUCUUCAUCAUGCCCUGACAGAGCUAUCGUUUGAGCUAUCGACCAAAACGGCGAUUCCAUACAAACUCUCAUCACCAAAUCAAAAACCCCGCUUACAAUUAAGAAGCCAAAAACAAAACUCUCACCAGGGAGAGAAAACAACCUUAGAUCUUAAGCACAACCACAAAAACAAGAGAAAUCAGACUGAAAAUCCACCCGCUUGAAAACAGAGAAGAAAGACACCGAAAUCUCCGAUGGUUUUAGAUCUAAGAAUUCUCCCGAGAAUAGAUCCGGAGCAAAACCACAAAAACAAGAGAAAUCAGACUGAAACUCAUCCACUUGGAAGAGAGACAGUGAAAUCUCCGAUGGUUUUAGAUCUAAGUUUCUCCCGAGAAGAUGUAUUAUUCAAAAAACUAGAAAGAAAACAAAGCAAUCAAGUGAUUCAGGGUUUUCCACCGGUGAAAACCGAUGGAAGCCCCAGACGGCUAUGACAAGAAAGAGGCUAAAGAGAAUUAGGGUUAAGGGAGAAGCUAGAGUUUAGUUGAUACUUGUUUAUACGAGAAGACUAAACUAUAUUAAACUAUAUUAUACGAGAAGACUAAAAUACGUGUCGAAUUCUCAUCUCCCAUGUAAACACUUGAGGGGACAAAUGGAGUACAAAUCAAUACAAACAAAUCAAAAUGUAACCAAUCAUUCCCGAUUUUCCUCAAUUUAUUUCGUGUUCAUUAAAAUCUCAAUAAGACUCUGGACAGAUCACACCGAUGCUCGGACAAAUUAAAGAACCAAUACUGACAGUUUUAAUGAGUUUAAAAUAAGUGCUUCUUGUAAGUUACGACUUACAAGUGAUUAGAGUAUUUGGGAAAGAAGUAGAAGCCAUUGAACAAAAGUUAGUAUUCUCAAUUUCUUAUAGUUUCUUGUAAGUACUUCUUGAGUUUUACAACAAACGGUAUGAAUUAAUGCAACGGUAUGAAUUAAUGCUUGCAGGAGCCGGGCUUUUAAACCCGACCAAACACCCUAGUGAUCUUAUAUCUUGUUUAUUAGAUCCUACUCAAACAUUGUCAAGACCAAACUCGGCAUCUAUAUUUUAAAACACACAAACUUUUCAAUUUUUUUAAAAAUAUUAAUCUAUGUUUACUAUUUAGUAAUUUAUACAUAGGUUGAGACUCGGUAAUUAUAAACCUAUUUAUAAACUUAAUUUCAGAAUAACGAGAAAUAUAUUGAAUUUGUCGAAAUUUUGAAAUAAUUUUGUAUAAACUCAAAGUAUUUGUUCGAGAAUGAACUCAAAUUCAAUUAACAUGAAAUGAUUUUAUUAAUUUGACGAAGAAUUGUAGUUACGUCAAUCACGAAAACUCAACAUCGAACUCAUACAUUAGUAUUACUUAUAUUAACGUUGAAUGAGUAAUUUAAUUACGAAAACGUUCAUCCUUAUUAAUCGAAUUUAUAACUCAAAGUUUUCUUAUAUUUACAUCGUAUCCUUUAUUCCAAAAGGACCUUAGUCACUUCGAUCGAGGAGCUCUUUGUAACAAGAUAGAGUAAAAAAAUUGAAUUUUUGGAGUUAAGAAGCCACUGUAACAAUUACUUUCAUUCUUAUUUUGUACAAAAAGAGGACAAAACAAUUACUUUCCUUCUAAUAUUAUUGCAUAAAACAUGAGUUAGGCGUGCAAGGCAAAACUAUGUACUCAACAUAAUCAUUUUCUUUUCAAAUUCUUUACGAUUUACAAGUAAUCAUGUAACGAGGGGCUCCAAACAUAAUGAUUUUUCGUCAAUAAAUUUAAAUCCCUAAUAUGAUUAGGACUCCUGUUCAAAAUAACCAAAAAUUAUUGAUGCAAACACUAGUGUAAAAGAUCUCGAUCAUAAACCAAACACCCCAUUGAAUUGAAUGGCAAUAAACAAAUGAACAAAGUAGUUGGAAUAGUUGAUCACCUAUAUUAAGCUAAGAAUAAUUAAAUUAAGACUACUAAUAGCAAUCAAUUGCCUAAAUUUGCACUUAUACUAUGUCCCUAAGAGAAGAAAAUACAAAUAAAAUGGUUGAAAACGAAAGAUUUUCUCAAAUUAGUUAUGUGUGGUUAGUUGAGCUACAGCCUCUCCUAUUUCAUUGAAAUGAAGACUACCAAGUAAACAUGCAAUAAUAAUCUAUCUGCUCUGCAAUUAAUAGAAAUUUAUGUUAUCUAAUUGUUUGAGAGCGACAUGUAUGAUGAUUUUGUUUUUGAAAUUUGACUAGCUAAUCUUGUAUUAUGACCAAAUCUAGUAGAAUAAGUAUUUGGGUGACAAGGAUUAGUUUCAUUGGUUUGGGUACUUUGGUUGGCAACCUACUUAGACCUGAUUAAGAAAGUACACAUAAUCUGUUUUAUUGCAACCAACUCUUUUAUCAUACUACCAAUUUUGAUUCAAAAAUAUGUCCUAAAUAACACGUGUCAUAUUUUGAUUGACCAUGGCUCUAUCUCCGCUGAGAUUAAGAGCCAAAUAUAACCUAGUAAAUAUUGACCUAGGAUUCGAGCAAAUGUGUGUGGGUAAAUGCUUAAGAUGGGGUACCUCGCUAGAGGAAGAGGAGUCAUGAAGGUGAAAACCUAAACUAAGUCGAUGAAUGUCGGCUCAUUCUAACCUCUAAACUGAAAACUUCUAAAAUUUGUAACCUAUAAGGAACCAAAAGAGCUCAUUUGAAAAGUUGGUUUCCAAUCUAAUAACUACUGAAACAUGCACAGAUGACAUAAUUUAGAAACCACAAGCCACAUGAACCCGAGAACUAGUUGCAAUGUGCAUCAUAACUGGAUGUGCAGAAGUCGGAAACAGUACUUACUUUGUAUGUUUAUAACACCCUGGAUUCUAAUAGUUCUAAGAAGUCUGUUAUUACACAAACAAACAUUCACCUGUUUGCUAAUCUGCAGAUCUUCUUCUGAGGAAAAUACAUCAGACGUUCCUUUGAGUAUUUAGUUCAGAAAGCUCCUCGGGGAGGUUUAGCACCAUGUCUGCAUAUGCUUCAGGCAAACUCAUAGUUCGCAAUGCAUCUUCUGCGUAUGUUAAGCGCAAUGGUACAUCUCUAUUUUCUGAUGCUCCAUUACCUUUCCUCAGUUUUUUAGCAGUCGAAGAAUUUUUAGACUCACUCACAGGCCAUGCCAGUACACUCACCCGAGUGGGUAGAAUAGACAACAGAUCUGCGUAUUUCAGACUGACAGUUAUAUUGCAAUCACAAUGGCCUAGCAUGAAUUCCACCAUAUCGUAAGGAAGACUGUGAUAAAGUUCUUUGAGUUGAUUCCCAUAUAAUUCCUUCGUAAGACGGACCUGCUCCCGUCUGUCGACAUAAGCUUGCACCAGCUCGCCAACAUGAUCUAUAAAUUUUAUCGCAUUUGAGGAGAGAAAAUUAUUUUCUGCUUCCCUUAUUGGCAGAAAGAAAGGAACUGUAUGUUCGAGGACAGUCAUCUUCUGAAGAAAUGACUUGCUUUCAAGCACACAAUGGUAAUGCUCACGAACAUAUCCACCAUACAGUGCCUCAUACCGGAUGCCAAUUCUUGCUCCAUCAAGACAGCAAAGUAUCUUUGUCCCGACUUUGUAGAUGAUCUUCUCAGCAAGAGGAGAUCUUGGGGACCCAGGUAACUGCAUUGCCCUACUCUCAACCUCCAUGUGAACCCUUUCUCUUAUGGUGGCCAAUAGCCCAUCAUUCCACUCUUCACCAUCUAAACAAAUUUCUCGAGUUUUAGAGUAACAAGCAGCUUCAAAUUCCCUCUGCAAACGCUCAAAAACAUUCUUAUCAGAGUCCCUGGAAAGACGCUCGGCUAACUCCCCAUACCUUUUGAGAACACUGGAGAAUCUUUCCCUCGUAGCCACCAAGCUUGUAUCACCCUGCAUAGAGCUCGUUUCUCCCAUAUUUGCACUACAAAGGGCCAAAACUCAUUUGGUUAAAACUUGACCUUUUUGGUUCAACCUCUAUCUUUACUGCUAUCUAUUUACCUAGUGAGAACUACUGAGAUGUAUUAUAUAUUUAGUGACUUUCAAUUCAGUACAUUCUAUCCAAAUGUUAUAAAAUAAGACAAGACACCCACAUAUUGCUGAUUCAUUAUGGAAACCUCUAGCUUCCACGGCUAUUAAAUUAUUAUCUCCUCCCCUGAUCCAAAACUAUAUAUACAUUUCAAACCGACUGCAAGUAAUGACAUUUAAUUCCUGUUCCGAAAUUGUACAUUCAGAACUUCAUAAUGAAUGAAAAGAAAACACAGCAGGCAUGUACAUUCAGAAAUUCAAAAUGAAAGAAAAAAACACGAAAAAACGUUGAAGAUUUAGUUACUUAAGUUUGAUCAGGAUAGGACCGAUAGGUAAAUUAUGAAGUAUACAUAGUUUGCUAAACAAAUGAACCCAGACCAAAUCACCAUAAGUAAGCAAUAUGAAAAAACAUGCUCCCUUAACAUUUAGCUUUCCCAACAGAUAUAAAAGUAAAUGACCAAAUCACAAUGAAUAAGCAAAAUGAACAAAAAUACUCCUAUACCCUAUUAUUACUUGUUUUUGACUUUUGCGCUUAAUAACUCAUUGAAGUAUUUUGGGCAACUACCCUCAAGUAAAUGCCUCGCUCACUUUCUAAAUAUUAAUCUUUCUUACUAUAUAUCUCUCCCAGUUCAAAAAAAAUUUACUUAUAGGGAUGUUUUCUUUUAUUGGUAAAUACUUCACCUAAAUUUAGUAUAAAGAUUAGUGUUUACCUAUAUACUUUUUACACGAGGCUAGAAGUUAAGUUUUGAGAAAAUGCUCAAAAUAGCAUGUUACAAGAUGAUGACCCUCUUAACGUUAAUAAUACAUACGCCAUAUGAAUAAUAAAUAUACAUUAUUCAAUAUGCUUGCUGCCAUAUUGGUUGAGAGUACGCCACAAGUGUUCAUGCACUCUAACAUGCUUUGAAAAUACAUAACACUCACACUAAAAGCAUCAGGGCACAUAACGCAAUUCACUGACGUGCUACAGUUUCAAAAUAAACCCCAAAUUCCCCCCCCCCCCCCCCCCCCANNNNNNNNNNNNNNNNNNNNNNNNNNNNNNNNNNNNNNNNNNNNNNNNNNNNNNNNNNNNNNNNNNNNNNNNNNNNNNNNNNNNNNNNNNNNNNNNNNNNNNNNNNNNNNNNNNNNNNNNNNNNNNNNNNNNNNNNNNNNNNNNNNNNNNNNNNNNNNNNNNNNNNNNNNNNNNNNNNNNNNNNNNNNNNNNNNNNNNNNNNNNNNNNNNNNNNNNNNNNNNNNNNNNNNNNNNNNNNNCCCCCCCCCCCCCCCCCAAACAAAUGAUGUGGCAUACAAAUGGCUGAUUUUAAUAGAGAGGUUUAUGUGCAUACCGGGGGUUCCCAUUAUUAUUAGUAUGAGUGAAACCAAUCAUACAUUGUCAACGAAGAUUUGGGGGAAAAAAUUGGGAACAAUUAUUGGGGUACCUAGCAUUUUCCUUUGUUUAUCGUGUUACGAGUCAUGUAACCCACAUAUCGGUUUCUCUUAACGAAAAUGCUAGGUACCCCAAGAAGUGUUCCAAAAUUUUUCUCAAAUCUAGUUGGUAAUUUAUGAUUGAUUCCACACACACUAAUAAUAAUGGGAUGCCCUGUAUGCACGUAAACCAUCUAACUAAAAUAAGUCAUCUGUCCACCACAUCAUUUGGGAACAGAAUUUGGGGUAACUAGUAUCACUCUUCUCUUAAUAAGUAAAAUCAUAAUCUACAUUGAUACGAAUAUAUAUAUGGAUAUUGAGCUCAUUUCUCCGGGUAGUCGUUCGGUUGCGUUUCGACUACUUAAGUCGUCUAUUUUUCCGAUUAAAUCACAUUUGUAGUAAUUUCAUCACAUAUCAGUUCAUUAAAAACCCUAAAAGCCUCAAUUCAAAUCAGCCAAAUGCAAAACUAACAUGAACAAGUUGAAUUCAUUAUAACAUCACCACACAGAGAUAUACAAGAGAUGUAACUUACGGAAAUGGACGCCGGAGUUUCACUGUCUUCGUCGCCGGUGAGGUCUCCGUUCCGCCGCUGGUUUAUUUUCACCUGAUUAUGUCCCAGUUAAAGGUUUAUAAUUACAGACCUAUCGAGAUCAAGAGGGUGUAUUGCACUAAUGGGAAUUUAACAAAUAUACUAUAUUUUAGGAUUUUAUUUGCAAAAAUACCAUCUUUCUAAAUUAAUUGCAUAUUUACUAAACUAAGUUUCUAAAUUGCAAAAAUACUACCCCACCCCCUGCAACUAAAUGCAACCUCAUAUGCAACUGAAUGUCUGAUUUCAAGUUCCACUUUUCAAAUGUCAUUUUCGACCUCAUCCUUGGAAUCCACACACACACACACACACAUAUAUAUAUAUAUAGGCUAAUGAUCAAAUAGAAACCAAUUUUAAAAUAAAAACUAGAAACCAAUACAAGUUAGUGAUAUUCUCAGUACAAUUUAGAGAUAUUCUCUUUAGGAUUUAGUGAUAUGUGUUGCAGGAAUUAGUGAAAAUUUAAUCUCCAGAUAUGUUCCAGCUUAAAAUGUCCAGAUCUGUUCAUGUGUUCAAUUCAGAUGGUGGUGAUAGUGGUGGAGAUGGUGGAUGUGAAGGUGAAGAUGGAGGAAGGAUGAUUGUAGCGGAGGUUUGAGCGGCUUGAAGUGGGGGGUUGGAGCGUUGCCGGAUUAGUGGCGGCUCCGCGUUUGAAGUUGAGUCGAGUGGAGAAAGAAGUAUGAACAUGGUUGAAGGAGGUUGAAGCAGCGAUUAAGAUGGGGAUGGUGAAGAUGGAGGUGUGGAGGUUGUGUUGUUAGAGAAAUAAUGGAGGUGGAGGUGGAGAUGGAGGUGGUGGUUAUGGAGGGGGCGGGCGGCAUAGAGGUGGUAGUGGUUAUGAAGGAGGCGACGACGGAGGUGGUGGUAGUGGAGGUGGGUUGGUGAAGAUGGAGGUGGUUUUGGUGAAGAUGGAAGUGGAGAUGGGGUUGUUUAAGAAUUUAGUGGUAUCUGCUUUAGGAUUUAGUGAUAUUUCAGAUUGGUUUUUAGUUUUUAGGAUAAGAAGGUUUCUAUUGGAGUAAAACUCUAUAUAUAUAUAUAUAUAUAUAUAUUCUGAAAAUCUGGUCGAAAAUGACAUUUGGAGACUGGAACUUGAAAUCAGGCAUUUAGUUGCAUUCAGUUGCAUUUGGUUGCAUUCAGUUGAUUCUAUUUAGUUGCUUAUGAGAUUGCAUAUUCAGUUGAAUAUUGCCCCUGCGGGGCCUGCAACCCAAAUCCACCACAAUAUCACCCCACCCUAAAAAAAAAUUCAGUUGCUUAUAAGGUUGCAUUCAGUUGAUUCUAUUUUGAUCUAAUGGCCCCGCCAGGGGCACCCAUACAUUAAUUGUAACUUACAGUUUUCAGUUGCAUAUGAGAUUGCAUUCAACCAUAUGCAACUGAAUGCAACCUCAUAUGCAACUACAACUCCUGAUUUCAAGUUCCAGUUCUCGAAUGUCAUUUUCGACCUCAUCCUUGGAAUCCAUAUAUAUAUAUAUAUGGCAUUCAGUUGCAUGUGGUUGCAUUCAGUUGCAGAAAGGAGGGGUAGUAUUUUUGCAAUUUAGAAACAUAGUGUAGUAAAAUUGCAAAUAGCUAUUCUUGAGAAAAGUAAAUUUGCAAAAAUUUACUUUUUCCUAUAUAUUUAUGAAAAAACCCCUUUAAUAAUUGGAUUUUUAAAAUGCAUUAAAAUGUUGGGAUAUUCAAUUUAAAUUUUAAAUUAUAUUACAAAAUCUAAGGGGUCGUUUGGUUCGUGGGUUUCUGAUAUCAGGUAUGGGGUUUGUCCAUUCCAAACCCAUAUCUGGUGUUUGGUUGAGAAAACCCCCGAGGUAUGAGUUUUUGAUACCUAGUGGGGAGGUGGGUAUGAGAUGAAGGUAUGAGAUACAUUGAUUUUUUAUUUUUUUUCUCUCUUUAAGUAAUGAAAUAUUAAUGUUUGAUACAAAAUUAAAUCAAUGAUGCAAAAAUAUAUGACAAUAAUAAUUUUAUUAAUAUUUUUAAUUGAUAUAUAUUAAUAACUUAUUUUCUUAUAAAAUUGUAUAUAUUGAUUCCAGCACUCAACCAAACACAUGAUAUCAGAUAUGAUACCUCAAAGGCUCAAACUCAUACCAACUUAACCCGAUUCCUCAUUCCAACCCGAUACCCCUCCUCGAACCAAGCGACCCCUAAUAGUAAUCAUAAAAUUUGAUGGUAUUCAAAUGUCAGAUAGAUUUUUUAAAAUUUUAUAAAAUGAAGGACUUUGAGAUUUUUAUCAAUGAAAAUCAAUGAGAUUUUCAUUGAUAAAGAUCAAUGAGAUUUUGAAGCAUUGUGUUUAAAUCCUAAAGAAUAUGUGUGAUAUUUUUAUCAGCAAUCCGCACAAAAUCAAAUGCACAUAAAAUUCAAUAAAAUCCAUACAAUAAAAACAAUCCAUUAAAAAUAUUUAUAAAAAUAUUAUAAAAUUAUACUUUGAAAGAGCCUCAAAACGUGUGCCAAAAACGAACUUAACGAAUCUGUUGGGAUAGGAAGAGUAUAUGAAAUUAGGAUUUUAAACGAUCUUUUUCCAUUUAUGAAAAAUAUUCAAUUGAGAUUAUUUAAUAUCUAUUAAAAUCUUGAAAUAUUUAAUUGAGAUUUUGAAACAUUAUGCUUAAAUUCUAUCAACUCUGUGAUAUUAAAUCAAGAAUUGCACACAAAAUCAAAAUCACAUGCAAUUCAUUAAUUCAUUAAAAUCCAUAAACUAAAAACAAUUUAUUAUAAUCUCAAUUAAAUACACUCCGGUUGCAAAAACCUUUCAAAGUUGCCUAAGACGGAAAAAGGAGAAGCAACUGUCUCAAACUAUUGACACAAUUUAGUAAAUAUAUGUAUUAUGCAAAUUGCUCAAAGUUCCAAAUUACUAGCUAUUAAGAAUAUUGCAGAUUUUCACUGCAAGUGAACAUUAAACUCGUAAACUCAAAAAAAAACAAAAAAAAAAAACCAAGAGAGUUGUCUACCUUGAAUUUCAACAAGAGAUUUCAUAAAUAGGUGUUCAAUAUGGAGAAAGUAACACUUGGAUGAAAAUAUACAGGUCCACCAUCAUUCCCUUAUUGUGAAACAAUGAAACAUAAAGGGGCUUUCCUAUGGGUGGUAUUCAACUCUGUUGCUCUCUAGUGCUCAGGUACAAUCUUGUAAAAGGACAAAAGACACAAAGCAAAAUCCCAACACAGUUGGUUUUCGAAAAAAAAAAUUAAACUCCAGGCACUUGCAUAGCCAACAUUCAGCAAAAUAUUAUUUUCGCAAUUAUCUAGAUAUAAAAGAAGUCAGGUGUCAUUUGUCUAAGAAGCAGAGGCAGCAUUUUCCUGGGCUAUCUUCUCUGCCUUGGCCAUAACUUCUUCAAUACCUCCAACCAUAUAGAAAGAUUGUUCUGAUAGAUCAUCGAACUUCCCGUCCAAAACUCCCUGAAACAAACAUGAGGCAACAAAACAUUAAACAUCAUAAACAUAAACAAGUAGAGCUUGCACAUACUAAAUCUGUUGUACAUGCAAAGGAUAUACGAAGGCACCCCGAGAGAGUCCCGGUGUCUAUAAAAGUAUGAAUAAGCAGGAGAUCUACUUUUGAACACAGGUCCAUUGAUAAACUUGCAGUAAUGCUGUAAGCAAGGGAAGAAUAUAAUACUACAUGAUGUGCAUUAAAACAUGUAACAAACCCUUUAUGAUGGAAAUGGUCAAUAACCGAGUUACCGAGUACCACUUCCUUUUUCCAUUAUAAACAUUACAAUCCUCUUAUUGUCUAUUUAUCUCUAAUGAAAUCACUUUUUUUUUUGUCCGUGUAUCAUUUCCACCUCCAGAACAACAUGAUACAACAAAACGUGAGCAUACAUCGAAAUUAGUAUGUCCUCUCUUGUGUACUUGACCCACCAAGGAUAUUUAGGCUCGAUUACUGUGCUACUGGCAACAGGAAGUUACUUCUUACAUUCUACUCAGCUAGGUGUAACAUCUCCCCAUCAUAACAAGGCAUUUACAGAGGAAUUACUUAUUUAAAAAGAACCAAUUAAACAACCAUUAAAUAAAUAACAAUCACCUGGAAGCUGGUAAUGCUUUCUUUCAACUCCACAUAUUUGCCCGGGGCACCAGUGAAGACUUCUGCAACAUGGAAGGGCUGACUCAAAAACCUUUGAAUUUUACGAGCACGAGCAACAGUCAACUUGUCAUCUUCACUAAGCUCAUCCAUUCCCAGAAUGGCAAUAAUAUCCUGCAGAUUCUUGUAGUUCUGAAGAACCUUCUGUACUCCACGAGCAGUAUUGUAAUGUUCCUCUCCCAAAAUAUGAGGUGAGAGCAUGCGAGAUGUAGAGUCAAGGGGGUCAACAGCUGGAUAGAUACCCAGCUCAGAGAUCUGUUAAGAAAAUUGUCAACUUCAGUAUAAAUUUCUAAUAAGAAGUACCUAGUAAGUCAACAUAAGGGAGACAGGAAGUGCAAACCUGACGGGACAAGACAGUUGUGGCAUCCAAGUGAGCAAAUGUUGUUGCAGGAGCAGGAUCUGUCAAAUCAUCAGCAGGCACAUAUAUAGCUUGGACAGAAGUAAUGGAACCUUUCUUAGUUGUAGUAAUACGCUCCUGAAGACCUCCAAGAUCAGUGGCCAAAGUUGGUUGAUAACCGACAGCAGAUGGGAUACGACCAAGCAAAGCAGACACUUCAGAAUUAGCCUGCAAGAAAAUGAGACAAAGAAAAACCAUAUAGAACAUUAUUAAGAUGCUACUGUAAUCAAAAUUCCAAAAUUCUCAUAGCAGGGUACAGUACCUGAGUGAAACGGAAAAUGUUGUCAAUAAACAAAAGCACAUCUUGACCUUCAGCAUCUCUGAAGUGUUCAGCAACAGUCAAACCAGUAAGACCAACACGAGCACGAGCACCUGGGGGCUCAUUCAUUUGACCGUAGACAAGAGCACAUUUGCUCUCACUCUGAUUUAACACAAGUAAUUGAGUACAGUUUACUAGGUCUGAAACUAGUAGGAAACAAUGAGUGAUAAAAAAUAAACUGAAGUAAAACUAACCUGCUUCUCUCCUAGCUUGAUGACACCACUUUCAAUCAUUUCUCUGUACAAGUCGUUGCCCUCUCUGGUACGCUCUCCAACACCAGCAAACACAGAGAAACCACCUGCACAAAGAAUAUAAGUAAAGAUGGGUAAGAAAAACAUUAGACUCUAUAGAACUUCUAUAAGAAUUUGAACAAGAUCGUACCAUGAGCUUUUGCGACGUUGUUAAUAAGUUCCAUAAUAAGCACGGUCUUUCCCACGCCAGCACCACCAAACAAACCAAUCUUUCCUCCUCUUUGGUAUGGUGCUAACAGAUCAACAACCUAUAAUUGAGCAUCUCAUUAGGCUUAUACAUGUGUAUACCUGGACAAUAACAUUAUAAGUGUUCACCCCCCCUCACCAAAUAAAAAGUCCAAUAUAAAUUACCUUGAUACCAGUGACAAGAAUUUGUUGUUCUGUUGCUUGCUCAACAAAAGCAGGGGCUUCUCUGUGGAUAGGCAAGGAGUGGUCGGUCUCUGUUGCAGUAGAAAAAUAUAACACACGUGAGAUUUUUUUUCGAAUUGGACUUUAUUAAGCCAUUUGUUUGUAAAAAUGAGAUAGUUCACUUACUGAUAUCGCCUCUAUGGUCAAUCGGUUCCCCGAUAACAUUCAUAAUACGACCAAGAGUAGCUCUCCCAACAGGAACCUGUAACAGUACAAAAUAAAUUAACAGGGUAAAUCACUAUAAAGAAACUAACAUGAUAAGUUCUUCUCUUUGCCAAAUAUUUAGUCUCAAAUGUCAGCAACAAUAGGAAUUGAGAACUAUGAACGACAUCAUAAUAUAGCUGAAUAUGCAAUAUACAAACAUAUAUUACACUUAAAAUAAAACAAAGUAAUCAUGUGAAGACUUGGCAAUCCUCCUGCAUUUGAACAAUACAUUCGUAAACAAUAUAUGUACAUUACAUCUCAAAUCUUUGCCAUUUCUAAUCAAUUAUAUUUAAAUACAUCGAACUCGGUAAAUAUCCAGUAUUCAAAACAUUUCUAAUCAAGACACUAAAAAUAUAUUAAAACACACACAUAUCAAUACAUACAACAAAUUCAGUAAAUCAUCCACUUACAGACUUACAAUCACACAAGAUUCAAUAGUCAAAACAUUUCAAAUCAGUAAUCGAGCAACAAUAUAACACAGAAGUAUUUCUAUCUACCUAUAAAUACACAAUUCAGGAGAUCCGCAAGUUCACAAUCUACAAAAUCUAAUAAUCGACAUUUUUUAUCAGCAUAAAUACGAUAAAUCAACAAUUACAUAUAUCUAAACUCGAAAAAUGUGAUCCAAAGCUUACGGUAAUAGGAGAUCCGGUAUUGAGCACGCGUUGACCUCUGACAAGACCUUCCGUACCGUCCAUAGCAAUCGUCCUCACCAUAUUCUCCCCCAAAUGCUGCGCAACUUCGAGAACCAAGCGGAUCGAGUUGUCCAUCACCUCCAGCGCCGUCAAAAUCGGCGGCAAUCCGUCGUCGAAUCGGACAUCGACGACUGCUCCGAUGACCUGGCAUACCUGACCGAUGGCGCCAGCGCCGGUGAACUCGUCGGUGAUCUUUCCGCCACCGGGAGAGGAUUUGGGAGAGGCGGAGACGGUGGGGGAGGAGGCGGGGGGAGCGGCGGCUUCGGUGGAGUAGGUAGCGGCGCGUGGGAAGAGAGUGGAGGCGGGGGAGAGUCUGCGAGUGGUAAAGCGGGAGGUGGGGGUGGAGGAGAGGGAGGGCUUGGAGGUGGAUUUGGAGAGAGAUGAGCGGAGGAGAGAGGCGAGAAGUCGCCGAGAAGACAUAGCGGCGAGAGAGAUGAGAGAGAGAGAGACAGAGAUGUGUGUGUUAGGGUUUGAAAUGCGAUUGACCAGGAGGAUGUGUCUUAAUUUAUCCGCAGGAGUAAGAGUUUGUCUUUUUCACUUUUUUUACUGUGGUAAGAAAUAUGGAAUAUUUUCUUCAUUCUUCUUUCUUUUUUUUUGCUUUUUUGAGUAAUAUAAUUUAUUGGCUUUUAGGAUAACUAAGCGGGAAUGCUAAGAGGAAAAAAAAAAAAAAACAGUUUUCUUUUUGUCGAAAAGCAAUAAUGACAAUUGUGUUAUGGUCAAUAACUCAAUUAAAAAAUGAUUGGCAUGGUAUAAAAUCCCAAACAAUAAUUUCUGAUUUUUCGAUAAGUACAAAGCAUUUUGUAUAUCAAUUAUCAAUUAUUAUCAAUUAUUAUAUAUAAAAGCACGAGUUAUGUGUAUGUUUGAGUAAUAAAAGGAAUAGAUUAAAUUCUCAAUCUGAUCAAAAAGAGGAAAAGAUUUAUAUUAAUAUGUUGUCUGAUUAUGGAGGUAUGUUUUAAUAUGUCCUGGGUCAUUUAUUAUUUUGGAAAAAAGUUUACAUUGAUUCAGUACUAUUAAUUAAUAUGCAUGAUUACUACUACUGCAAUUUAAAUAAAAAUUUGAUACUAAUGAUAUUCCAAUAUAAAAUUUCAAUAAUCAGACUUUCAAAAUUUUGGUCAAUAUCCUCCUUAAUCUGUUAAUUGAAAAUUUUCAAAAUCUUAUUUUUACAAAUAAUAUAAGUUCAGCUCGAACUUUUUCUGCUCAAAGUCUAAAAAUUCAAGUUCGAAUAUUGUAAUAAGUUGUUGCCUUACAAUCAAAUAUUUUAGUGCAGUGUCCCUGGGAGGUAGGAAAUGCUGCUAGAAAACAAAUGAAAUGAAUGCAGCCAAUGCAUGAGGUGAGAUCAAGAAACCGCCCAAACCGCAUAAAUCGUCCGCACCGCACCAAACCGCACCACAAAAUGUGGUUUUUAAUUUUCAUGGUGCGGUUGUGGUUUGAAUUUUUCACAAACCGCACGGUGCGGUGCGGGUUGCGGUUUGACAUAAUCCUAGUGCGGUUCAAACCGCACCGCAGCGCAAUAAUAUAUACAUAUAUAAAAAUGUAUUAUCUUAUCAAUCUCUUAUUACUAUUAUACCAAAUUUGUAUGAAAUGAUUAUAUUAUUAUAAUAUGUCUCUUAGUAUUCAUAUUUAUUAUCAUAUUUACACUUUUGUUUGUAUUAUUUUUGUCGUUGUUGUAGCUCUGAAAUGAUAAAUAUCAUAUUUUCAUUUUUCACGACAGUGGUCUCAUGUGGUCAUAUUCUAGCUAGCCUAUGAUAAGGUUGUUUCUGAAGUUUUCUUCUGUCGAGCUGUUCCUCAUUUUACUUUAGUUUUGGUACUCUAGUGUUUGCUUCUCGGAAGACUAGGAAUUAGCCAAGCGCCGCAGAAUGAUUUUGCAUAACUUGUUGCAUAACGUGUUGCAGCCAGAUGAUCGUGCAUGCUCAACUCGAAAAGUGGUGAACAGAGGCUUGAUGAUAACUUAACUGCAUUGCAUCUAGUCUGCAAAUCUGCAAGCAGAAAUGCUAGAAAAGAGAGUGCCACCAGAUAUUAUCACUAAUGUUUUUGUUGAUGGUCUUUGUAAGAUAAGAAAUCUGGAACAAGACGAACAAGUUAGUGAGCUGUUGCGAAAAUGGUUGCUAUCUGCCUUCGAGUCCUUUAAUCCUUUUGAACUAUGUGAAGAAAUGAAUACCAGAUACCUUGAAUGCAUACCUCUCAGUAAUGAUGUUGAAGCUCAGGCUAAAACAAUGCAUGAACCAUUGGGGAACUCUCUUGUUCUAAAUUUUCGAUUGUUUUAUGGCAUUGUAGUGUGUUAGGCCAUUAAGAAAUUUGAUGGGCCAGUGGUGUUGUUAAGUAACCAAUUCUCCAAGAACCUCAACCUCAAGGUGUUGGGAGGAGGGUUUACUAGGCGAGCCUGAGCUCUGAUACCAUGUUAAGUAAUCAAUUUUCCCAAAACCUCAAGAUNUGGAGGAGAGGGAGGGCUUGGAGGUGGAUUUGGAGAGAGAUGAGCGGAGGAGAGAGGCGAGAAGUCGCCGAGAAGACAUAGCGGCGAGAGAGAUGAGAGAGAGAGAGACAGAGAUGUGUGUGUUAGGGUUUGAAAUGCGAUUGACCAGGAGGAUGUGUCUUAAUUUAUCCGCAGGAGUAAGAGUUUGUCUUUUUCACUUUUUUUACUGUGGUAAGAAAUAUGGAAUAUU
RNAcentral lists this long non-coding RNA (55451 nucleotides) under Daucus carota (carrot). RNAcentral describes it as "long non-coding RNA (DCAR_LNC005896)". The record is from RNAcentral. Lineage: Eukaryota; Viridiplantae; Streptophyta; Magnoliopsida; Apiales; Apiaceae.